Molecule: long non-coding RNA, 47636 nt
Filed under: Malus domestica (apple)
Lineage: Eukaryota; Viridiplantae; Streptophyta; Magnoliopsida; Rosales; Rosaceae
Description: long non-coding RNA (MDOM_LNC003531)
Source: RNAcentral
AGAAGAAGAAAAGACGAGUAGGUUAGAAACUUAAAAUAUGCAGACAAAAACAAGUGCGUUGAACUUAUCUGCAUCACAAGUAUAGAUCCCGUGACACCACAGCAUGGCCAACUUUUCGGUUCACGGGACCACCGUCUGCAUGCAGUACUGCUCCUCCCAUACCUUCCCACCACCACCAAUAAUAUUCCCUUGCUUCUCAUUCCCCUAUAAAACCCACCAACUUUGGAGUUCCAAAAUCCACAACCUUAACGCACCAAAUAAUUCCUAUAAGAAAAGAUAUGGAGGGUGCUCGUCAAAAGCUGGUCGUAGUUUUGGCUGCUGUGGUUUUGGUUGCAAUUGCAGGCAAUGGCGGUUUUGUUCAGGUUGCUAAUGCUCAGAACAUAUGCAACGUCUCUGUCACCGAUUUGAUGAAGUGUAGGCCGGCUGUGACUUCUCCGAAUCCGGCACCGCCUACUAAAGCCUGCUGCGCCGCGCUGUCGCACGCCAACCUGAGCUGCCUUUGCUCCUACAAGAACUCCAGUGUCUUGCCUUCUCUGGGAAUUGACCCUAACCUUGCCCUACAGCUUCCCGCCAAGUGCAAGCUUCCCCAUCCUGCCAAUUGCUAGACAGAGCGACGUACACAAUGGUCUAAUCAACAAACAUGAUUUAGUUACGAUUAAGAUAUGAUUAAUCGUGUAAUCAUGUACAACUUUGGAUAAUUAAUAUGCUUUCCUAUGUGUAAUGUAAGCAUGUUUAGUUGGAUGUGUGCGUUUGUCCAAUUUGCUAUCAUGUUAUGUAAUAUUAUUAAUAAUACAAAUCUCGUUUUUUUUUUUUUUUCCGGUAACAAGCCUCUUUGAAUACAAAUUUUAGGGACAGGACUUACCACAGGCCUCUUUCAAUACAAAUCUCGGCUUUCACAUAAGUGGUUACGUUCAAAUUAUUGAAUAUAUAAUUAAGAUUGCAGUCACAUAUUUCACAUAUAACUCUAGUUUUUUUAUAUGGUUUUCGAGAGAAGAAAUUUAUUAAGCUAAUAGGCUCCAGCAAGUGAGGAAUAUCUCCCAUCAAAAUUUCACAAGUAUUAUCUCUACUAAUUAAUGAAAUCCUUUUUGUCAACCAAAAGAAAGUGAAAAAAACAAUUAGUCUUCUAUCACAAAAAAAAAAAAAUUGAUGGGCAAUAAUGUAAUUUCACAGGUUCAAAUUUUAUUGUUUUUUAUUAAAACCUCACCUACAGGUGAUGUUAAAAUACCUCCAAUAUUAUUAUAAAAAAAACAACCAUAAACAAAAACCUUCCACUCCACCCAUGUUCUCUCUCUCUCCCUCUCUCCUUCUCAUUUUCUAAAAAAAAUGUGUUCAUACACACAAAGUGUGUAGGCAAAUGUUAGUAAUUAUUAAGAUGAUUAAGAUCUAAAGAUUCCUAAUCCUUCAACAGUGUGUGUGUGUGUGUGUGUGUGUGUGUGUGUGUGUGUGUGUGUGUGUGUAAUAACUGAACAACACUUUGGUUCCACAUUAAUUUGUAAAGAAAUUCCUUCACAAUUUUGUGAAGCCAAAAAAUUGUUCUUAAAAUGAUUCGUCGUCCAAAUGUGCUGAUGCAUCAACACAAUUUAAGAAAUUAAUUGGCAAUUUUAAGUCCCACGUUAAAUAUCCAAAGGUUAAAAUAUACUUUUGAGUUUUACUAUGAACUCUUGGAUAAUAUAAUAUAUACACGAAUGCAUUUUGAGUUGAGCAUAAUUCUUGUACAAAAUAAACAAAUGAACCUCUUAUACCAUAAGCUUUUAUGGAGAAGACGAGCAUCAUCUCCAAUAAUGUACAUACAAACGGGGGCCGUCAGACCGAUCUACUGGCGUCUACGGACGGUUCAACGCUCGAUGGAGAUACCUCUGCGCCGUAAUCCCAGAAUUGUUUCAGCUCGCGCCUUAUCAGUCCCAAAAUCACUACAACACCUGGUGACCAGAGAAGGAAUAAGAAGGCAAAGUAAAAUAUCUGCAAAUUUUAUCGGCCUAAAAUUGGAAAAACGCGUCUAGAAAACCAAACAGAAGAUGUAAGAUCAAUGCGCUGGAGAUUACCUAGUGUACAUGGAACGAGAUAGAGGAGUGCAGGCUGGCCGUUGCCAUUCAUGAGAUACAAACCCAGGUAAGUAAGACCGUGUCCUGGAAAAGGAAUAACGUUCCAUUUAAGACCGUGUCCUGGAAAAGGAAUAACGUUCCAUUAGUACCACAUGAGACAAUAUGGACAUGUUUAGUUCGAUCAUGCUGCAGUCUGCUAUUAAAAGGAAAUGAAAUAAAUACAGGAGCGUGAAAAUCACUACCGUAUCCAGAAUUCUAAUAACUAGGGCAAAUAAUACUAAUAACUACGGCAAGAACAAAAGAAGAAGAAAAGACAAGUAGGUUAGAAACUUAACAUAUGCAGACAAAAACAAGUGCGUUGAACUUAUCUGCAUCACAAGUAUAGAUCCCGUGACACCACAGCAUGGCCAACUUUUCGGUUCACGGGACCGCUGUCUGCAUGCAGUACUGCUCCUCCCAUUCCUUCCCACCACCACCACCACCACCAAUAAUAAUCCUUUGCUUCCAAGGUUAUAAAAAAACUAGGUGCUAGUUAGGCGGCAAACUGAGAUCUAAUGCCUAGGCGGUUAGGUGAGGCCUAGAAGGUGUCUGGGCGGACUAUGCGGAUUUAAGUAAAUUUAUUAUAUUUCGUAUAAAUAAAUAUUUGUUUAUACUUAAUAUUAUAUAUAUAUAUAUAUAUAUAUAAUUUCAUCACAAACUACAAAAUAGAAUGAUAUAUAUAUAUAUAUAUUAUGAAGUAUUGGAACACACUGAAAACAUGGGGAACAAACAUAUAAUGUGUGUUCAAUUAAGUAUUCAACAAGUCUCGCUUUCAAUUGAUUGAAAAAAAAAUGCAAAAUGAAAGUUAUCUAUUUUCUGUCUAAGUGAGUCGCAACCUAGACGAGUACUUAGACGGGCCUGGGAGGGCUAGGCAGGUGCCUAGGCGGUCUAGGCACCCCUUCUUAAUUUUGAAAUGCUUAGGCAUUAAUUGGGGUUGUGGCCAGCCGCCUAGCGCCGGGGAUUUUUAGAACAGUGUUUGCUUCUCAUUCCCCCUAUAAAACCCACCAACUUUGGAGCUCCAAAAACCACAACCUUAACGCACCAAACAAUUCCUAUAAGAAAAGAUAUGGAGGGUGCUCGUCAAAAGCUGGUCGUAGUUUUGGCUGCUGUGGUUUUGGUUGCAAUUGCAGGCAAUGGCGGUUUUGUUCAGGUUGCUAAUGCCCAGAACAUAUGCAACAUCUCUGUCACCGGUUUGAUGACUUGCAGGCCGGCUGUGACUUCUCCGAAUCCGGCACCGCCUACAAAAGCCUGCUGCGCGGCGCUGUCGCACGCCAACCUGAGCUGCCUUUGCUCCUACAAGAACUCCAGUGUCUUGCCUUCUCUGGGGAUUGACCCUAACCUUGCCCUACAGCUUCCCGCCAAGUGCAAGCUUCCCCAUCCUGCCAAUUGCUAGACAGAGCUACGUACAAAAUGGUGCAAUAAACAAACAUGAUUUAGUUACGAUUAAGAUAUGAUUAAUCGUGCAAUCAUGCACAACUUAGGAUAAUUAAUAUGCUUUCCUAUAUGUAAUGUAAGCAUCUUUAUAGUUUGGAUGUGUGCGUUUCUUUUGUCGUUCUAUUUCAAUUUGCUAUCAUGUUUUCGAUAUAAUGUAAUAUUAUUAAUAAUACAAAUCUCGGUUUUCUUUUUUUUUUCUUUUUUUCUUUUUCCGGUAACAAGCCUCUUUGAAUACAAAUUUUAGAAACGGAACUUACCACAAGCCUCUUUGAAUACAAAUCUCGGUUUUCACAUAAGUGGUUACGUUCAAAUUAUGGAAUAUAUAAUUAAGAUUGCAGUCACCUUUUUUCACAUAGAACUCUAGUUUUUUUGUAUGGUUUUCGAGAGAAAUGGAAUUUAUUAAGCUAAUAGGCUCCAGCAAGUGAGGAAUAUCCCCCAUCAAAAUUUCACGAGUAAUAUAACUAUUAAGGUGAUUAAGAUCUAAAGAUUCCUAAUCUUUCAACAAUAUAUAUAUAUAUAUGGGAUAAGAUCAAGGGACAAAUAUUUUUACAAAUACUUUUACACUCUUUUUAAGCCUUUUGAUUACAUGACAUCCAAUGGUUCUUAUUUAUUCAUUAAAUGACAUGGAUGCUUAUGUGGAUUUUAACUAAUAUUAAAGAUAAAAAAAAACAGAAAAAAAAAUAUAAAACUGGAAAAUUAAAACUAAAAUUAAAAAAGGAAGAAGCUCUAGUUGUACACAUUCCUCCUUCUCCCCCUUUGCUAAUGUGGUUUUGCAACUUCAUGUCCUGGAUUGAUACGAAAUUAUGAUGCCUUCUACAAGAAGCUCUAGUUGUGAUUUCUGCAGCUCUCGUUUCAAAUUUCCAACCAUCUUGCCGACCCCAACCUAUAGCAUGACCUGCAACAUGAAGUUGCAAAACCACAUCAGCAAAGGGGGAGACGGAGGACUACGUACAACUAGGGUUUCUUCCUUUUUUUAAUUUUAGUUUUCAUUUUCCAGAUUUUAUGUUUUUUUUAGUUUUAUUUUAUCUUUAAUAUUAGUUAAAAUCCACAUACGCAUCUAUGUCAUUUAAUGAAUAAAUAAGAACAAUUAGAUGUCAUGUGUUUGUACCAUACUUGACCAAUCCCGAAACUACUGAGCACCGGUCAACGUUAUACCGUCAAGGACCCAGAAGAGUUUCCCUCCAACCAGGUGGAGGCCAAUCACAGCGCGACACGUGUCGAUAUCAGAAGCCAAUCAUAGCGCGACACGUGUCAACAUCAGAAGUCAAGCACAACACGACACGUGUCAAUGUCAGAACAAAGCUAGAAACUCUCUUCUAUAAAAGGAGAUCAUUCUCCCACAAUAUUUCCUAAUGUCAUUUGUACUAAAUCAUUCACUAGUACUCACUAAAUGAGAGCUUGAAUCUAUGUACUUGUGUAAACCCUUCAUAAUUAAUGAGAACUCCUCUACUCCGUGGACGUAGCCAAUCUGGGUGAACCACGUAGAUCUUGUGUUUGCUUCCCUGUCUCUAUCCAUUUACAUACUUAUCCACACUAGUGACCGAAGCAAUCUAGCGAAGGUCACAAACUUGACACUUUCUGUUGUACUAAAGUUCUCACUGAUUUUGUGCAUCAACAUCAUGUAAUCAAAAAGCUUAAAAAGAAUGUAAAAGUAUUUGUAAAAAUAUUUGUCCUUUGAUCCUAUCCCUAUAUAUAUAUAUAUAUAUAUAUAUAUGGGAGCAAAGUUGCAUUUGAUCGAAUGAAAUUACCGGAACAUCCUCAAAAAAAAACAUAAAAGUUGGGUUAUGACAGUUUGAGAGGCUAAUUCUAAAAUAAUAAGAGAGAAAUUAAUUAAAAGGAAAACUAAUGAAAAGGGCUUGAAAACUUUGAGUUUUAAUGAUAAGGACAAAAUAAAGGGUAAAGUGAAUAGUACCAGGAUUGACUUUUUAGUGUAAAAAUGUGGUUUUUCGUUAAAGUGAACAGUACCGGGUGCUUUUCGUUAAAGUUCCCUUAAUUAAAACUGGAGACCGUUUAGUUGGUCAAACAUAAACAAAAAGAUAAAUGGCCUACCAACUCAAACCAUCUAUUCCAACCUCAAAUUUUAUAAUUCAUUGCAAAAUUGUUUUUUGCAUAGUGAAUUAUAAUAUGAACGGUUCCAAUAACUGAACAACACUUUGGUUCCGCAUUAAUUUGUAAAGAAAUUCCUUCACAAUUUUGUGAAGCCAAAAAAUUGUUCUUAAAAUGAUUCGUCGUCCAAAUGUGCUGAUGCAUCCACACAAUUUAAGAAAUUGAAUUGGCAAUUUUAAGACCACGUUAAAUAUCCAAAGGUUAAAAUAUACUUUUGAGUUUUACUAUGAACUCUUGGAUAACAUAAUAUAUACAUGAAUGCAUUUUGAGUUGAGCAUAAUUCUUGUACAAAAUAAACAAAUGAACCUCUUAUACCAUAAGCUUUUAUGGAGAAGACGAGCAUCAUCUCCAAUAAAGUACAUACAAACGGGGGCCGUCAGACCGAUCUACGUACUGGCGUCUACGGACGGUUCAACGCUCGAUGGAGAUACCUCUGCGUUGUAAUACCAGAGUUGUUUCAGCUCGUGCCUUAUCAGUCCCAAAAUCACUGUAACACCUAGUGACCAGAGAAGGAAUAGAAGGCAAAGUAAAACAUCUGCAAAUUUUACCGGCCUAAAAUUGGAAAAACGCGUCUAGAAAACCAAACAGAAGAUGUAAGAUCAAUGCGCUGGAGAUUACCUAGUGUACAUGGAACGAGAUAGAGGAGUGCAGGCUGGCCGUUGCCAUUCAUGAGAUACAAACCCAGGUAAGUAAGACCGAGUCCUGGAAAAGGAAUAACGUACCAUUAGUACCACAUGAAGACAAUAUGGACAUGUUUAGUUCGAUCAUGCUGCAGUCUGCUAUUAAAAGGAAAUGGAAUAAAUACAGGAGCGUGAAAAUCACUACCGUAUCCAGAAUUCUAAUAGCUAGGGCAAGUAAUACUAAUAACUAGGGCAAGAACAAAAGAAGAAGAAAAGACGAGUAGGUUAGAAACUUAAAAUAUGCAGACAAAAACAAGUGCGUUGAACUUAUCUGCAUCACAAGUAUAGAUCCCGUGAAACCACAGCAUGGCAACUUUUCGGUUCACGGGACCGCUGUCUGCAUGCAGUACUGCUCCUCCCAUUCCUUCCCACCACCACCACCAAUAAUAAUCCUUUGCUUCUCAUUCCCCCUAUAAAACUAAAGCAGCAGAGAACCGACUGGCUGCGUGCAUUCCCUCCACAACACCCCAACGCGUAAGUUAAUCAGGAUGGAUCGACAGGCUUUCCAAACCUACAGGUCUCUAUGGAGGGUGCUCGUCAAAAGCUGGUCGUAGUUUUGGCUGCUGUGGUUUUGGUUGUAAUUGCAGGCAAUGGCGGUUUUGUUCAGGUUGAUAAUGCUCAGAACAUAUGCAACGUCUCUGUCACCGAUUUGAUGACUUGCAGGGCGGCUGUGACUUCUCCGAAUCUGGCACCGCCUACAAAAGCCUGCUGCGCGGCGCUGUCGCACGCCAACCUGAGCUGCCUUUGCUCCUACAAGAACUCCAGUGUCUUGCCUUCUCUGGGGAUUGACCCUAACCUUGCCCUACAGCUUCCCGCCAAGUGCAAGCUUCCCCAUCCUGCCAAUUGCUAGACAGAGCGACGUACACAAUGGUCUAAUCAACAAACAUGAUUUAGUUACGAUUAAGAUAUGAUUAAUCGUGCAAUCAUGUACAACUUCGGAUAAUUAAUAUGCUUUCCUAUAUGUAAUGUAAGCAUUGUGGAUGCAAAUUUCUUCCUCUUGAUCUUGGACAAUUUUGCACCUACAAAACAAUUAACACCUUAGAUUAAGGCCAAGAGCCUCCGAUGCCAAAGUUAGAAUUUAGAGAGAAAGAGUGUUUAGAGAAUUUUGGGAUUUUUGCCAAAGUGUUGGAAUUUUUUCUCCCUUUUUUGGUGAGAAUGGGAGUAUAUUUAUAGGGAUAGGAGGUGGCUAGGGUUUUUUGGGUUUAAUUAGGAGUUACAAAAUAAUUAGCCAAUAACUCCCUAAUUAACUUGGCUAAUUAUUUGUCAUACAAAGGAAAAAAGGUAGAAGGAUGAAAGAUGGCCGGCCUUUUUGUGGGAGUUAGGGUAAAGUGAAUGGUCUAAAUGCUAAUUAAGAGAAUGAUUAGCUCAUUAUCAUUAUUUUAGAAGGAAUGUUUUAGGAAUUAUGGAAUAGGUAUAAUAUUUAGCUAAUUGAUUAGCUAAAUAAUGAAAUAGGAAAUAUAUGAAUAAAUUAGGUUUUAAGUUGAUAUCUAUUUUGGGCACUUUUGACUUGGUUGAGGGAUAAUUGCAUGCUGCUUGCGCAUGGGAAUCCCCCAAAGGUAGUUUUGUCUUCUUUUGUCAAAAAUUCACGUGUCGCCUUGUGAAUAUUUUUGGCUCCACAAGCAUGUUUAGUUUGGAUGUGUGCGUUUCUUUAGUCAUUCUAGUUCAAUUUGCUAUCAUGUUUUCGAUAUCGAAUAUGUAAUAUUAUUAAUAAUACAAAUCUCGGUUUUUUUUUCUUUCUUUUGUUUUUCUUUUUUUCUUUCGGUAACAAGCCUCUUUGAAUACAAAUUUUAGGGACGGGAUUUACCACAUGCCUCUUUCAAUACAAAUCUCGGUUUUCACAUAAGUGGUUACGUUCAAAUUAUGGAAUAUAUAAUUAAGAUUGCAGUCACAUAUUUCACAUAUAACUAGUUUUUUUAUAUGGUUUUCGAGAGAAAAGAAAUUUAUUAAGCUAAUAGGCUCCAGCAAGUGAGGAAUAUCUCCCAUCAAAAUUUCACCAGUAUUAUAAUUAUUAAGAUGAUUAAGAUCUAAAGAUUCCUAAUCCUUAUAUAUAUGAAACCUUUAAGGGAAGGAUCCCCAUUUUUUUUAUAAAAAUGGGGAUUAGUUAUAAGGUUCACACCACAUCGAAUUUUAACGAUCAAAACCGUCUAUUUUUCAAGUUUUACCUCAUAGAUCAUUCUUGCAAUAUAUUAGCCAAAUCCAAAAUGUUUAAGACAUCUAAUUGAGUUCAAAGAAAUUAAUGAAUACUUUGUUAUAUAAGAAACAAUGAAAUUUUAUCUUACUUACAAAAUAGACGGUUUUAUAUAUAUCUAAAUGGGGAGUGAAGCGACUAUCUACUGAUAAUGGUAGAAAUUAUGAGGACAACAGUCAAGACUACAGUCAUUAUGAUUAUUGGGAGUGCAAAUAUCAUACCAAAUGUUAUUAACAGAUAGGAAGAAGACGAUGAAAGAUUGGUCGGUAUUUACCUUGAAUUUGAGAUACUCAAUGAAUUGACUGUGAUUAAGAAGACGAUGUUAUAAACAGAUAGGAUACCUUGAAUUUGAGAUACUCAAUGAAUUGACUAUGAUUAAGAAGACGAUGUUAUAAACAGAAUUUGAGAUACUCAAUGAAUUGACUGGGAAGUUUUAAUAAUUUCUGAAUCCCAAUAAUCAUAAUGACUGUAGUCUUGACUGUUGUCCUCAUAAUUUCUACCAUCAUCAGUAGAUAGUCGAUCUGCUCCCCAUUUGGUAUCAGAGUCAAAUGAAUGGUAAUUGCAUUAGCAUCUUCUUAAUCUGCAAGUCAAGUUCAUUUUUAGUCUUUCAAUCUACAGUCUAUCUUAUCUGUUAAUCUUCUAAGUAUGUUUGUUCGACUCCCCAACCAAACAGUAAGGCAUGUUCCAAACAAUAAGUCCCAGGAGAGGCAUAAGUGGAUUGCAUGAGCGGGGAAGAAGUUUAGCUAAUACGCGAGGAAGGUGACACAUUUAAGUUUUCUGUAUUUUGUUUGCCUGUAUUGUGAACUUCAUGAGUAGAUUAUUUAGAUCUAAUUCAAUGGCCAGCACUAGCUCUAGAUACAGCCUAGGUACAAUUCCAGAUAUUGUUAAUGAAGAACAAAAACUUGAUUUUCAAACUGGUGAAAGUGUUGACUUUGGAGAUUGGAAUAUCCCCAAGGUUUCAAGUAAAAAUAUUUACAAAAAGAAAUGGUUAGUAGCUUCAUUUAGAAGUGAACAUCAUGUUAAGACAGUUGAAAAAGCUUAUGCUCUUAGUAAAGAACAUGAAACUUGUCAAUUGUUUUCCCCUAAACAAAUUAAAACACACAGAAAAGAUGGUCAUAACUAUAUCCAUAUAGGCUUAGUUCAAAUAGCCGUAAAACCUUUAACACGUAGAGACCUUAACACCUCUAUUUUGUUAUGUCUCCGAGAUGCUAGAUUCACUAAUUUUAGUGAUAGCAUCCUUGGAAUGAUUGAAUCCAGUCUUUCCAGUGGACCUAUCCAUUUUGAUUGUUUUCCAGACCUUACCAUAAGUCUUUCAGAUCCUCAUAUGCUGAAAGCACUCACAUUAAACAUUAAACUUCAGGAUACCAAGUCCUUGAAGGAACACAGCCUUUGGCAUUAUUAUAUCGAGUUUACUAUAAAGUCAUUGGCACAAAUAUGAAUUUCCAGGUUUUAACCAAAAGUCCUAGAGAUCAUACACUUUUAAUCCAAACAAAUCAAGAAAAUGCAAACAUCAAAGUUCCCAGAACCAUUAGGUCGUCAGAUAUCAGUAUACCUUCAGAUUGGUGUUUGAUUAAUGAAAGCAAACCAGUAGCCAUCCAAAAUAGUCUAGUCAAUCUAGACAACAUAGAACAAUAUUUUGACGGGACCGCUAAAAUCAACUUUGACCGUUCAACCAGAAAAUCUUGUGAGUCCACUCAAUCACAUAGAUCAUUUGCUCCUAGCAAAAAUUCUUUUUCUGGAUCCAUACCAACCGAUAGGAUGAGUCAAGAUUAAGAGUUAAUCAAUUCAUUAGCCAAUAGGAAAUUAAAAGCAGUAGACACUAGUUCAUCUGUUACCCAACAAGAAUUAAUCAAUGAUUUGAUUAAUAUCAAAUUAAAAUCAGUAGAAACAACUUCCCAAAUAACACAUCCGAGAUAUCAAUCUCACACCCAAGUUCAGGGAGAACAAACUUCUCCAACAAAAUCUGAUUUCGAAGCAGGUCAGAUUAAUCAUAAACUCUUAGUUCUAAACAAACCUUUCAAAUGGAACAAGAAACGGCUCAAUGCUGAUAUUGAAGCCACAAAAAAUAUUCCCAGAAGGAAUGUUUUCAUAAACAAAUAUACAAAAAAAUAAAAAUUGGAAAUUUACAAAGAAUUGACUAAUUUUAUGGAAACCCACAGAUUUGAAGUAUUUUUCUUUGAUUAUGUUGAAAAGUACUAUGAGUCUGCAAUAAAUUAGAGGUAAUAACCAAGGAAAAUUGGCUUAAAGAAAACAAAACCGUUGUCUCUUCCAGCCAUCCCCCGCAAGAAACAAUCCUCAUCACAACUGCCAAUACCCAAAUUCCAGCUACUCCUUUUAAGCUUCCCAAGGAAGAUGCAGGAGUUAAACCUGUCAUUGAGCAGAAUAAAUUCACUAACCAGAGUCUACAUACCAUAGGAAAACAGUUAGAUAAAAUAGAAACAAAGAUAGAUAAACUUUCUCAACCAAAACCAAUACACAAAGAAAAACCAUUAAUCAACUUUCCAAAAUCUUCUUCCAACCCAAUUGCUUUAAAGACAAUGUCCACAAGACAAAAAAUAGAAUAGAUGUUACAACAACUAAAACAAGAAAAAACAAUCAAUGUUUUACAAAAUCAAGAAGAGUCUCAUGUAGAAACAAAUUCUACAAUAUGAGAUUCAGAAAAUGAAGCUGACACAGAUUCCAUAAAGAAAGUGGAACAAGCUUUUCAAAACCUUGAACUCAAAAGGUUAACAACAAACGUGUUAAUCCAACAUCCCUCACAAAAAAACUGGUAUCCCAGACCUACAUCUCCUGAUAUUCAAUUUGAAGAAAGAAAUAUCCAAAAUCAAUUUUCCGUCUCUUCUGAUAAACUCUAUGAAUGGAAUAUAGAUGGCUUAUCAGAACAAGAACUCUUAAAUAAACUCCAACAUAUCUCUAUGGUUGCUAAUAGCUAUAUCACCAAUCAUAAUCUCAGCCAAACACAAGUUGUCGACCUUUUGGUCACUGGAUUUACUGGAAUGCUCCAUUCCUGGUGGGAGAAACCUCUCAAUGAACAAUCCAGAAAUGAAAUAAAACACGCAAUCAAAAGAGAUGAAAAAGGAAUACCCAUCUUCGAUGAACAAAUAGGACAAGGCGUCCCUGACGCAGUCAACACAUUACUCUUCACAAUCAUAGAACAUUUUAUAGGAACAUCUAGUAAUGUCACAUCCAGGAUCCAUGAUCAACUUGGUAAUUUAAGAUGUCCUACAUUAAGCGACUUUAGAUGGUACAAAGAUGUAUUCAUGUCUAGAGUUAUGCUUAGAGAAGAUAGUAAUCAACCAUUUUGGAAAGAAAAAUUUAUUAAUGGAUUACCAAACCUCUUUGCUCAUAAAAUUAGAAAUGUCUUAAACAACGAAGAAGGAGUCAUAUCAUACCAUACCCUUACUUAUGGUAAUAUAAUUAAUAUUAUCCAGAAGGAAGGCUUGAAAAUGUGUAUAGAUAUGAAAAUCUUAAAACAAGUUAACAAAGAUAAUUCCAUCACUAAGUAUGAAUUAGGAACGUUCUGUGAAUAAUAUGGACUACCUCCUAUUGCUCCAUCAAAUAAAAAGAGAAAAUCACAAGUCUAUAACAAGUAUUCCAAUAGAUACUAAAGUAGAAAAUACCCCAGAUACAACAAAUACAAAUCUAAAAAUAAAACUUUUGAAACCAACAAGUUUUACGAAAAAUCCAAGACUGAUAAGUCAAAAAGGAAACUCUCAGGGAAAUUUCCCUCCAAUGACCAAAAAGGAAAAUGCUACAAGUGUGGCAAAUUUGACCAUUAUUUAAAGAAAACGAUUAGUCAGUUAAAAAUCUCUGAUGAAGAGAAACUUCAAUAAGUCCAAGUUUUAGAAGUUAGAGACACAGAUUAUAGGCAGUCAGAGGAUGAUGUACAGUCGUCUUCUUUAGAAAGCAACUCAUCUAGUAGUUUUUCAUCACCCGAUAUUAAAUUAGGUUGUACUGAUACCUGUUGCAAUAACAAGAUUUCAGUACUCAACAAACAAGAAGAACUAGAGAAUCUUCUUAUUGAAUUAAUUAGCAAGGUCGAUGACUCAGAAUUAAAAUCAUUUUACCUCCAGAAACUAAAGAAAUUAGUUUCUCCAGAAGAACCUAGCACUAGCCAAUCCCAACAAAUUCCAAAAAUAUCUCUUAGCACAACCUUGGAAAUGUUCAAUAAGUCUAAGAAAGAAAUCACAGUUAAAGAUCUCCAAACAAAAAUUAAUAAAAUCAAAGAUGAAAUUAGAUUUUUAAAAUCUGAAAAAUUUAGAAGUUUGUACUCACCUUAGUAAAAUUCGGACACAAGCACUCAUCAAAGAAGAAGAAUGCAGUAGUUCCUCUUCAGAUCACAAUUCAGAUGCUCAGUCGAGCAAACAUUCCACACAAGACUUAGUCUUAGGUCUCUUAGACAAGAUAAGAAUCUAGAAAUGGUAUUCUAAAAUUAAAAUAAUAAUUGAAGACUUUCAUUUAGAAACAAUUGCUUUGAUUGAUUCCGGUGCAGACUUGAAUUGUAUUCAAGAAUGAUUAAUUCCUACUAAGUAUUUUCAUAAGUCAACAGAGAUACUUAGUGCUGCUAAACAGUCACCAAUGCAAUUAAAAUAUGAAAUACCUAAAGCACAUGUUUGUCAAAACAAUAUUUGUUUUAAAACCCCAUUUGUUUUAAUAAAAAAACAUUUCAAAUCCAGUCAUAUUAGGUCUCCCUUUUAGCAGUUAUAUAUCCUUUUAAGGUUCAUCACAAUCGGAUUACCACCAAAGUUUUAGGACAGAAAAUCACAUUUGAGUUCUGCUUGGAAACAGACCUCAAAAAAUUAAGACACUUACAAAAGAAUAAUAUUUCAAAAACCAUUAGUAUAAUCACUAAUAAAUCACAACACAUUAAUUCUUAAAAGAAGAAAUUAAUCACAAAAGAAUUGAAGAAUAGCUAACAAGUAAAUCUUUGUUAGAAACUAUUGAUAAUUUUCAAAAGAAACUUAUUAAUGACAUCUGUUCUGAUAUUCCCAAUGCCUUUUAGCACCGCAAACAACACAUUGUUAAACUUCAUUACAUAAAGGAGUUUAAUGAAUCAAAAAUCCCAACUAAAGUCAAACCUAUUCAAAUGAGCCAAGAAGUCAUGGAAUUCUGCAAAACAGAGAUCCAAGAACUUCUUAAUAAAUGAAUCAAUAGAAAAAAUAAAUCAUCAUGGUCAUGCCCUGCAUUUUAUGUUCAGAAAAACACAGAAUUAGAAAGAAGGACUCACAGAUUAGUUAUUAACUAUAAACCUUUGAAUGAGGUUUUGGAAUGGAUUUAGUAUCCAAUUCCCAACAAAAGAGAUUUGAUAAAAAGGUUUUCUCAAGCAAUUAUUUUUUCAAAAUUUGACAUGAAAUCAGGUUUUUGGCAAAUUCAAAUUCAUGAAAAUGAUAAAUACAAAACAGCUUUUGUAACUCCUUUCGGUCACUAUGAAUGGAAUGUAAUGUCUUUCGGCCUCAAGAAUGCACCUAGUGAAUUCCAAAAUAUUAUAAAUAAUAUUUUUAAUCAAUACAGCUAUUUUUCAAUUGUUUACAUUGAUGAUGUCCUAAUUUAUUCAAAAUCAAUAGAUGAACAUUGGAAACACUUGCAUAUGUUUGCUAGAAUAAUCAAGUCCAAUGGAUUAGUUGUUUCUGCAUAAAAAAUUAAGUUGUUUCAGACUAAGAUUAGGUUCUUAGGAUACAAUAUUUAUCUGUCUACCAUUCAACCCAUUGAUAGAGUUAUUCAAUUUGCCGAUAAAUUCCCAGAUCAGAUUACUGACAAAACCCAAUUACAAAUAUUCAUUGGAUCAUUAAAUUAUGUUUCAGAAUUAUAUCCUCACCUCAGACAACAAUGUAAACCUUUAUUUGAUCGUCUCAAAGAUAAUCCUCCAUCAUGGUCUCCUGUUCAUACUUUCAUUGUUAAAUAGAUCAAAUCACAUGUUAAAACAUGACCCUGUCUUGGCAUUCCAACUCCCAACUCAUUUAAAAUAGUUGAAACUGAUGCAUCUGACAUUGGUUAUGAAGGUAUCCUCAAGCAGUCUAUUUCUUCCGGAUCUCCUGAAUAAAUUGUUCGUUUCCAUUCAGGAGUAUGGAAUCUAGCACAACAUAACUAUAGUACUAUUAAGAAAGAAAUAUUAUCUAUUGUAUUAUGCAUUAUCAAAUUUCAAGAUGAUUUAUUGAAUCAAAAAUUUUUAGUCCGAGUCGAUUGCAAAUCUGCAAAACAUGUUUUACGAAAAGAUGUUCAAAACAUUGCAUCAAAACUGAUUUUUGCACGGUGGCAAGCCAUAUUAAGCAUUUUUUAUUUUGAUAUUGAAUACAUUAAAUGCAGCCGCAAUAGCAUCCCCAAUUUCCUAACAAGAGAAUUUUUGCAGGGGAAGAAUGUCAAGACAAAAGCCUAAUCAAAGAAGGCUUCCAGCCACUUUACCACCACCAGUAAAACAAGAAUCUAUUCUCGAUUCCUCAUCAGCCUUAGCCAUAACCAACCGAUUCACUCAUUUAGGAUCCACAGUGGCAAAUUUCCAACCAAACUACCAAACACCAAGACCAAACUACCAAAUGGCAUUAGUCAGUCAGUAUGAUCUUUAUUCAUCCUACUACCCAUCUUUAUCAAACCCAGCAAUUAGUUAUACUAAAACAUCUUCAUACGUCAAUAAAUCACCCAAGGAAUGCCUUUUUAGCAUAUCCCCCAAUAUUUUCCAGGAACAAACACCAGCCAAAAUAGCCAAAAUGGUAUUCCCGGCCAAUUUCCAUUAUCUACCAAAUGCACCACAUAAAACCCUCAAAUAUUAUCAUGUCAUUCUCAGUGAGACUAAAUCCAUUGCUAUUAAGCCAAUUUUUAGUACAACCCAUGCCAACAAAAUUCUGUACCAUUCCCUUCACAUUGGAAAAAUCCUAACAGAAACAGAAUGAGGAUUCCCCCUUUACCAAUCCAACCCUCUUAAUUCUCAGCAUGUUCUUAUUCCCAUAACAAAUACAAUUAUUUUGAUUAUAUCGACGCUUGGUCUAACAUUUUCCUUCAUCAAACAAAAGACUUUAGUCAUUCAUGGUUUGUUACUUUUGAUAAAAGUCAGAUUAAAUUUCCCAGCAUGGUUUCCCAGAUGGUGGUCAUUUCAUGCCCCAAUAGCCAGCCUCCUUCUCGAGGACCUCAUGCACGUUUUAUCAAAAAAUUUCCGAAAGAAAUUUGACAGAAGCAAAUUCAACCACUAUAUCACCUUUCUCCCAUUGUUCAUGGCCAAUUACAAAAUCCCAUGGAUAAUGAAGUUGAAAUUGGCGAAGUCUAUCGACAAAGAGCAGUCAAAUGGUGGGACAAGUUAAAUCACCAGAAAAUCAUCAACUUGGUCCUCUCUGAAUUUCCCGUCAUUCAAGCUUAAGUUCAAGCCAUUCUGGCACAACCAGUCCAGCAGAAAAUGGCAUUGCCAACAGUUCCAGAACAAUCCCUAUCAGACAUUAGUCCCUCUUCAUCUCUCAAAGGCACUUCUAAGUCAUCCAAGUCGAGUUCGAAAAAGAAAGAAAAAUCGUCUCAGCUCAAGGACCUUGCCCAACAAUUACUUGCAGAAGCAGCCAUAUUCCAUACUGAAGACUCAGACUCCGAAUCCUUAGACUCAUCCUCUCAACAACCGGCCAGCACGCAAAAAGCCAAAUGGGUAUAUUAUCAGGAUUCCCAAGACCCGUUUGAAUGGUAGAAUUCAAAAUUUGUAAUAAUUUGUAAUCAUUCCAAAGUAUUUUACCCAAGUAAAUUUUAUAGUAUCAGCCAUGUGAUCCUUUCACAAGAAGACAGAAUCUGCAGUAGCAGCAAUCAUUCAGACAAAUCACUAUUCAUGAAUAGUAAAACCACUUUUACUAUUCAUCCAUCAUUUCAGAAGCAGUCGCAUGAUUCCACAGUAAAAGGAAAAUCAUUCCUCCAACUUUUACAGUUCUCUUCACAUGGGCAAACCGGGAUUCCCGCUUCAAUUUCAAUCAUUCAUCCAACCAUCUCUAGCCUAUAUCAUCACAAUCCAGAACCCAUUCCUAGGAGGCUGAAAACUCUGCGUAUUCUUAAGAACAAGAACAGAGUCCAAUAUUCAGCUACAUAUUGUAUCCAGUCAAAACUAUAAACACACUUUUAAUUAUCAUGCCAAGGAUGCCUGCGAGCUCCAUCUUCAUUUUCAUCAAUUGUAAUUGCCAGUAGGCAAAUUGUAAGUCUUCAUUUCAAAGUUUAAUAAACUUAUUUUCAAAAUAUAUCUGCAUCAUUAAUUUUAAUUCAUUAUUUUCAUUAUGAAGAAUAUUUUCAUAACCAUUGAUUUUGAAUGGCAUAAAAUUCUUAAUCACAAUCAAUUCAUUGAGUAUUUCAAAUUCAAGGUAAAUACCGAUCAAUCUUUCCUAACAUUUGGUAUGAUAUUUGCACUCCCAAUAAUCAUAAUGACUGUAGUUUUGACUGUUGUCCUUAUAAUUUCUACCAUCAUCAGUAGAUAGUCGCUCAUCUCCCCAUUUGGUAAUGUGUGUGUGUGUGUGUGUGGGAGCAAAGUUGUAUUUGAUCAGAACAUCCUCACAAAAAACACAAAAGUUGGGUUAUGACAGUCUGAGAGGCUAAUCCUAAAAUAAUUAGGGAGAAAUUAAUUAAAACUGAAGACCAUUUAGUCAAUCAACAUAAGCAAAUAGAUAAACAGCCUACCAACUCCAACCAUCUAUUCCAACCUCAAAUUUUAUAGUUCAUUGCAAAAUUGAUUUUUGUAUAGUGAAUUAUAAUAUGAAUAGUUCCAAUAACUGAACAACACUUUGGUUCCGCAUUAAUUUGUAAGGAAAUUCCUUCACAAUUUUGUGAAGCCAAAAAAAUUGCUCUUAAAAUGAUUCGUCGUCCAAAUGUGCUGAUGCAUCAACACAAUUUAAGAAAUUAAUUGGCAAUUUUUAAGUCCCACGUUAAAUAUCCAAAGGUUAAAAUAUAUUUUUGAGUUUUACUAUGAACUCUUGGAUAAUGUAAUAUAUACAUGAAUGCAUUUUGAGUUGAGCAUAAUUCUUGUACAAAAUAAACAAAUGAACUUCUUAUACCAGAAGCUUUUAUGGAGAAGACGAGCAUCAUCUCCAACAAUGUACAUACAAACGGGGGCCGUCAGACCGAUCUACUGGCGUCUACGGACGGUUCAACGCUCGAUGGAGAUACCUCUGCGCCGUAAUCCCAGAGUUGUUUCAGCUCGCGCCUUAUCAGUCCCAAAAUCACUGUAACACCUGGUGACCAGAGAAGGAAUAAGAAGGCAAAGUAAAACACCUGCAAAUUUUAUCGGCCUAAAAUUGGAAAAACGCGUCUAGAAAACCAAACAGAAGAUGUAAGAUCAAUGCGCUGGAGAUUACCUAGUGUACAUGGAACGAGAUAGAGGAGUGCAGGCUGGCCGUUGCCGUUCAUGAGAUACAAACCCAGGUAAGUAAGACCGAGUCCUGGAAAAGGAAUAACGUUCCAUUAGUACCACAUGAAGACAAUAUGAACAUGUUUAGUUCGAUCAUGCUGCAGUCUGCUAUUAAAAGGAAAUGAAAUAAAUACACUUGAUAUUAUGAGCAAGAACUUACAAUCAUAAACAAAGGCGAAAUGGAUGUUACCGUAACAGAGCAGAAAAUGAAAAUAUAUAACACAAUGCUUUUCCCGAGCAAGGUAGGCAUUUUUUUUGUAAUUCAUGUAUAUUGUAGGAGGGGAAAGAAUUUUUUUAUUUUUUACUUUUUUUUUAAAUAAAAACAAAUUAGAUGUUGCAAGAGCACUCACCAAUUCCAUAGCCAAUUAAUAACCAGGGAAAAUAUCCGUUAAACGCACUCUUCUUAUUUUCUUUGUCAAACCUGAGACAGCCAAACCAGGAAAAGAUCAAAAACGGGGGAAAGAUAUACAGAAAAUCAAAUGUAAAACAAAAUACUCAGAAAUAGAAAAUCAAUAACAAUUUAACACUCAAGUUCAAUAUUUGUAUGGCAUUCAUUAUCAAUAUAUCACCCAAUUGACUUUAAUUAUUUUGGCCAUCCAGCAACAAUUUUUAUAUGGACUUCUUGGGUUCAUCAGCAGAAACUGAGCAAAGCAUGAUUCCAGCAUGCAAAUAACAGAGAAAGGAAUCGCGUUAUCUUUAAUCUCUCACCCCAACCCUCUAUUGCCCGGAACCAAAAUCAGCCAAAGUGUUCCAUAUAAUGUCUCGUCUGGACUUCAUUACAUAGACGACUAAGGAAAAAUUAUAGGACUUGAUAACAAGAAAUAUAUAUGUGAAAGGAGUUAAGUUUCCUCUUUCAUUGACGAGGGAGCGAGAAAGUUCUGAUACAGAUAUAAAAAUCAAUGUUGGAGCUGAUUUCGAAUUCAUAAUCCAAUUGUUCACCAUCAUGAUAAUGUAUCUAUCCCAAAGACAGGUGCAUUACCAUGAUGCAACAUAAUUGAAAUUUUCACAUAAUACAUCCCUCACUUUAGUUCGUACAUGAUUUUCGAAUGCUUUCUAAAUAUGCAAAUGUAUGAAAAUUGAUAGGUUAGGUGCACUUCUGAGUGUAAUAACUGUUAAUUGUGGUAUGGGGAUCUGGGAAUGUAUGUUAUAUACUAAAUAAAACCUCAUUUAAUCCGGAGAGAAUCACAUUUAACUAAGGACAUCUGUUCAAUUAAUCAACUAGCUCAAGAACUUAAUCCAAAAAGGAAAUGUUGUACUAUCUCUUUAAAAAAUAGAGACAUUAACUGAAAGAAAUCAGUACCUGUAAGUAAAUACAAUAAGCAAACCAGGAAACAGAACGUCCCCGAAGCCAAUCAUAUUCACACCACCCCAGGGGUCAAAAAAGCGAGGGAUUCUCAAAAGCAUUGGUAGGGCUUCACCACUGCCGUCACCUUUAGCAACCUAUAAGCAAAAGCAAAUUGUAACAUUUUAGUUUCUCUAAUAGAAUUUUAAAUGAGGAUUUCCAAACAAAAAAAAAGGGCUAUAGUGUAAAAGCUAAUACUAUAGUAAAGCACAUCUCACAUCCAUGAAUCAAUUUCCCAACGAUGUACAUGAUAUCAAUACACAAGCAUCAUACAUGCACACAAAAGAUUUACUCAAACGGGGAUCAUGGGACAUAAGCCAAAGAUGUCAGGCACAUUUAUGCUUGCAUACUUUUGUUGGUGAAUUCAUUGACCUUAACACAUUACUAAAACUGAGCCCAGAAAAUAAAAGGACUAAUUAUUUCUGACGAAACAUGGAUGUGAACCAGAACAAGUAUUUUCCUGAGGUUGGGGAAAAUUGCCAUGAUAUAAGCAAUGCUUUUAUUACCUACAGAAAUACAUGUCAAAGUACAUAUGCCCUCUACGUAUGUAAAGACACACAAAGACUCUAUGCGUCUUAAGAUUCAAACAAGCCAACGAGUCAAACCUUUUGAAAGGAUCUACUCUCCCAGUUUGGCAAAUGACCAGGCUAUUUACCAGGUGGACAGCUGGGCAGUCAAGCUGAACUCAGACAACUAAUAAUUUUUACACCUUAACACUGGACCACCGCCUAGACUGCUGCUAACAUUUUAAAAUUACUACUUUUAUGCAUUAUAACAUUAGUAUGCUAACUGCUGUAAUUUUAUAAUUAUACAUUUAUGAAAAAAAUAUAAUAUGGAUGUCAAAACUCCACAUGUAGGUACAUUUAUUUGUUUCUAUUACCAUUUCAUCCACAAAUUACACAUCAUAUUUUUGACAGAUCGUGAAGUCAAGGUGGGUUGCAAAAAUCUAAAAGUAUGACUAAUGGCUUGAAACCCUGUCUUUAUAUUUUAGCUAUCAAUGUUCCAGCCCAGGUUUUAUUAGUAUAGUCUAUGUAGGUUUCAUGUGUAACGAAAAGAAGUAAAUGAACACAAAUUAGGGAUAUAUGUAUUUGCAUAUGAUUGGACAAUGGACAACUAAAAAUCAACAUAAAGGAGUAUACAUGUAUAAGCAUACUUGUUCAAACACUCAACACUCUUUCAGUAAAGACUUUCUGAGAUGAAAACAUCAAAAUUGUAUUAUUUCUUAAUUCUUCUUAAAAUAUCAGAAAAUAUUGAAUAAGAAAAAAAAAAUGAGUUACAAAUAAAAUGGACAAGGUGUCCAUCAAUAAUUUAUGUCAUCAAUAAUUUAUGUAGAAUCAUUUUGAACAACAGUGAGCCUUCAUCAAAUAAACACAUGCAAUACACCUCAAUACUCCAAUCAAUGCAUUUCAGACGAAAACCUAUGCACUUUUUGAUACAAGGUAUCUAAUAAAAGGAGAAAAAGAAGAAAAAGAAGCUGAGAUCAGAACGUACCGUAACCAUGACGCUAUCUUUGAAUAUUAAGGGUGACAGGAAUACCCAAAAGAUGUCAUAGACAAAUGCACAACAAAGUAGUACGGUAGCAACCUGAGACAUGUCAGAAUUAUGAGACAAAAACACAUGUUAGAAUUAUGAGACAAAAACUUGAUACAUUAAUUAAAUGAAAGAAAGAACUGGUACCUUUAUGUUAGGCAAUCGAGCAAUUUGCAAGACCGUUAUCAUCAAGCAGAUACCCUGUCAAAAAAUUAUAAUUUUAACUAGCUGAUAUGAACAAAAUGAUAGACGGAUGUAGAAAAUCAUGUAGAGAAAAACCCAAGGAUUAAAAAUGGUAGAAUAAUGAUAACGAUAUGGCAUAAACGUCAUAAAUUUUUAGGUUUCUUUGCAAUAUUAUAUCAGCAGUCCAUAGGGAACCCUCAAACCGCUCAACUUAGGUUGAUAGAAGAUCUUUGGGUGACUAGCUUACAACAACAACAACAACAAAGCCUUAUCCCACUAUGUGGGGUUGGCUAUUUGGGUGACUAGCUUAACAAAAAAUAUAAGCAAGAAAUAGAUUUUUUCCAAUUUGCUAUACUGUAGCAUGCAUGACCCCCAGUAAUACAAUUUUGAAGGUAAGCAAGAGCUUUCUUUCAGGUAUGACCAUUAGAAAUGUUCUAAGAUAUUACAAUAGAACAUCUCCAAUUACUCUGUUACCAAGUAUUCAGAAUUUGAAAAAAUAAAAAAAAAUUCAAAUUUCUGAAACUGCAUAAAUUUGCUGAAUUGCAUAGUACACUCAGCCUAGCACACAUAUCAAAACAUGAAACUUACAAGAACAUCUUGGCCAAUCCAUGAAUAUGACGCCCGCCGGGUAACAACCCAGAAAACUGCAAAUGCCGCACAGAAAGCCAAUACAACAAGCGAGAGAAUAGAAACCUCAUCCAGAAGAGGCAAAGUUAUCGUCUUCUGCCCACCACUUCUCCAUUUUCUAUUCAACAAGUAAAUAAAGACAUUAAGGAACAUGGGUAAUAGGUUCAGUAGAAACAGGAAAAAUAAUGUCAAAUGUACCUCAAAAUCAGGCUCAGAACACAAUUAUGCAUUCCCUGAAAACAAAAGAUACAUCAGCUAGUAUGACACACAAGUCAACUGACAGAAGAUUCAAGAGUAGCAGAUCAAACACAUUUGAGAGAACAGUUCAAAAGGAUGUCCUCAUUUAAGAAAGUUAUGGACAUCCUAUUUCCAGGGUGUGAUUCAAUGAUGGAAACCAUUCAGUUUUUAGAUUCUCAUUCAAGGAUUAUCCAAGCCAAAAAUCGGCUAUAUCAGAAAAUGUUUAGCUGUUUGAUUAUCCACAAUUUCAUCUCAGCUUUAUGUAGCGAGCCAUGUUGCUUUGCACAUUUUAGAUGACCAAACACUUUAGGAUUUGGAUAUUUUUUACAGUGAUGACCCUUGAAAUGAUGAUCUAAGAUAUAGAUGGUUCCAAUAGUUGAAAAACAUUAUGGGUAGACCUGGGAAGGAUGUCCAUAACUUUCUUAAUAUUACUGGUAUGCUUCUAGUUUCCUAUUUAAUGUUGUUAGUAGGAUUUUAGGUUAGUUGACAUCUUGUCCUUAAUUUGUACGGAUUAGUUUUUAUUAAGAAAAGCUGUUUCUUAUUAAAAAAAAUGCAUUCUUUAGCAUUCUUUAGAUUGUAAUGCACAGUUGUAUUCAGUUUAAUUCCCAUAUAGGUACAAAAAUGCCAUGAACUCUGUUUAUAGUCAAUUUUGUUUACUUUGCAAGCAAAUUAAUAAAUAAAAUAAUAAAUAGUAGAAUUAAUCACUGUACCUCAAUACCACCAAUGCAGAAAAGUACAAUCAGCACCCAGAUAAACCAAGUAGACAUAAAGAAAUAUAGUAGCAACAGAAAAGUGGAUGCUGUUAUGACGAAACACACAGCGCCUGCCACACUAAGAUUCAUGACUUCGUCCUCAGAAUCAUCUUUGGCUGUUCCAGUAUUAGAUUCCUAUCCAAUCAAAGAUGAUAUAAAUACUAUUUCCCAUAACUACAACACAUUAUACAGUAACAGGAGGGCCGAGAAGAAAAUAUCAGCCGUGAUGGAAAUAUCUCUACUCAAAUUAUGGAGGAUGUUUCGGUUUCUAUAUCAAUAUCAGUGACUGUCAACAGGUUGAUGUAUAUUUUCUUUGAAAGAUGAAAGUUUUGAAUGAAACUUCAGUGAAAGUUAAAUCAAUCAUUAUCCGUUGUGUUGACAGUGACCAAUAUCAAAACAUCCACCAAUAUUUCCGUUCAUAAUGAAAUAUGCAGCCCUGAUAACCACACAAUAUUUCAUGUAAAAAAAAAACGUUCAAGUGAAUUAAAAUUAAGACAUAUAUACAAGAAAAGCAUUUAGAGAACAAACAAGUAGUGUGAAGACAGUGAAUUGAGGCUUGCAUGUACAAACCUUUUCUGCUAGUUCAUUAUAAUUCUCAUCAGACUUAUCAGGAGCAGUAAUCUUUGACCAAAAUGAGGCAACUAUUAUUGUUCCAACAGCCAUCAGCCACAGGAACACAACUGAGUAGUCCACCACUGGACGCUUGGGAGAAUAUAAUAGAAGCUCCACUGCAAUAAGUUAAUAGAAUUAUCCAUAUAUUAUCACAUCAAACAAACUUUAGAAUUGAAAAAUGCAAGCACAUUAGCUAACAUAUGGAUGUAAACAAAGAUGGAAAGCAAACUCUUAAUCUAUAUAUAUCAUGGAAACCUAUAUGUCCAACCUUGAAAACCCUAAUUCAACUGACGCCUGAAAAAGCUAUCUAUCAUCUGUUCUGCCUCUGAAACUUCAAUUAAUUCAAGCCCUUUAUAAAAGCCCUAAAUCAGACCUCCCAAACUGUCCCACAUCAGCAUGCUAUCUUCCUAUUACGUUAUAUUAUUACUAUUAAUCACAUUCAAGGAAGUAAAGAAUUUGACGAAACAGUAAACAUCAGAAGUUGACCUUUCUUUCCAUCUUCAAUAGAUUUCUUGAGUGCUUCUCCAUCUGACUUUGGAACCAUUACGACAAAAAUUGAAAUAUUCAAAGAAGUACUAUUAUCAGGACAAGCCAUCUUGGCAAGCUCUGAAACAAGAGGGAGAAAACGUUAGAAUUUAGUAUUUAAGGGGAAAAAGAGUGUGCUGCAGGUCUUUCCUGUGUUGCAUCAAGUCCCUAAACAUGCCUACAGACACAAGUUCACUUGCAAGUCCCAACACAUAAUAAUUUGUCUCACAACAAAACAGGAACCCUAGCAAAGUAAACUAUAAAAUCACAAUGGGAUGUGCUAAGUGCAUUGAGAUUCCAACCUUCAUCAUUAUUUAUCACCACUAGCGCCUUAGCACCUCCUGACUGUGCAACUUUUGCCUUUACGGAGAAGUCACAAUCACCACGCGUGGACAAGGCAAUAGCUCCAGAUAACUGCAAAGAGGAAAAAGGGACCGUAAAUAAUUCAGAAAACCAAAUAUGGGUUUAUCUUAUACAGUGAAUUCCAAAGAGACAAUGAUGCUUGAUCAUAUCCUAGAACCUCAAGGCACACUUUGCUUCUACAUUUUAAGUGUCUAGAGGAGAUGAUUUCAGUCAACAUUUAAAGUGACAACACAUUAAGCUUCCAUUUAAGAAGGAAAAAAACAAAGUUAAACCUUCGAAGAUGACGCUGAACAACCAUUUAAAGGAUUCGAGAUAACAACGGGCAAUUUGACGGCUUUUUCUUCUUUGGAAGGCAAUAAAGCCCCAAACUUUGCACCUGCCCCUUCAAUAGUUUCUCCUUCAUGGCCAUUAACCCAAUUCUUAACCUUUGCCUGAGAGAUUAGAUAAACCAGUUUAAAAGGGUUUUUAGCAGGAAAACAAUGACAGUAUCAAAUUAAAUUCCAGAAAAAUCCCAACUCAAUGUAAUUUUUAAUUUCUCAGCCCAAAAACCCCCCAAAAAAAAAACAUGCAUUUUCUCAUAAAAUUAAAUCCCCAUUUAACAAAAUUAAGAACUCGAUUUCUUGAAAUAAAAAAUGCAAAAAUGUAUGAAAAAAGAAGGGAAUUUUACCAUUAGGUAAGGGUUGUUGCAGGAAGGAGUGUCGGGGGUGGAAUCCACAUCCAAAACCAUGUCCUUUUCACCACGGGCCAAAGAAAGAGCAAUCAGAGAUAACAGAAACACUAGGCGGAGGAGACCCGACGCCAUUGCCAUUGCCAUUGGACACCACCACCACUCGAAGAUUCAAUCUCCUCCUCCUCCUCCUCCUCCUCCAAUUUGAUUUUUAAUCCAAUCUAUCAACUCCAAUUCAAUCAAUCCAACGUCGAGUGAGGGAGAAAAGAAAGGGAAGAGAAUUGAUUUAUUUAUUUUUUCAAUUGUUUUUUUAAUUUUUAAUUUUAAUUUUUCUUUCUUCGUCCCUCUGCUCCUGAGAAAAAAAAAAAAAGAAAGCUGGAAAUGGCUGAAAUAUUGAAUUAUUUAUUUGUUUGUAGUUGUAUAUCUGCCUGACGUGAUGCUGAAGACUGGUAGGCAGAUAGAAGAGAGGAGGUGACGGCAAAAGUAGGGAAAACAUGUCAACAACUAUAUGGAAAAUUACUGAACGGAUUCACCGUCACCGUGCCAUCCGAUAACAAUACGACUCAACCAAUUUAUUGUUAUUCUGUUAUUCUGGUAAAAAGGAUAAUAACACGACGGAUUCAUUGUCGUUCUGAUAUUCUGAUAAUACAAUGUCAAUUGUAAGUUUUUUAAUAUAAAAUGAAUAUGACGGUGAAUCAGUUUUAUAUAAGGUGCUCUUGAAUUUUGCGCCCAAAACAAAUUCACCCCAACUUUGUAGGUCUAAAAUUUAACCCUUCAACAAUGCUAACCGUCAAAUAACUUUGCACUCGUACGUGGUUAAGUGUGGUCAAUUCACUAUGGCGAGCUUGGAUGAGGGACUUUAAAGUUCUUAACGUUUAGGCUAAAUUUCCUUGUAAUGCGGUACAAAAAUUAGAUAGAGGAACAUGAGAAUAAAACGCAAUACAUCUGAGAGAACUUUCAAAUAACACAUUAAAAAAAUAAUGCAUUUUAGUGAUUUAAUAGUCGCUUUGUAUUGUUUGAGUAGUUCGCUGGUAGUAUUUUUGUAGUGCAUUUUUAAUAAUCGAGUAUAAAUUCGCUUUAUACUUUCAAAUCCCUUGUAAACGAGAGUUUUUUUUAAUGUAUCCGAAAUACGCGGUGGUGCACAAUGUCAUUAUAUAAGUGAAGGGCUACUUAAAAAAAAAACUUCCCUCUGACGUAUGUAGCAUAAUAUCCAUUCUCACCACGCCAAUCACUAAAUCUCAUGUUCCACCGCAAACAACACUUAUCGAUCCACAAUUGUAUUGAAAUAAGUCUUAAUAUCCUCGGCAAACAGAUUUUGAGACUUCAACAUAUUUUUGACACGCCCGUUGAGACCUUGUAUAAUCAACCAAGAAAAUGCCUACUUUUGUCUGAAUAUUUCUCUUUAGCUUAAGUAUGGAAUUAAUUUUCCUUUGCUUGAGAUAAGGAAUAUAUGUUUCAUCCAUUUUUUGUUAACCAAUAUUCCUUGACAUUCCAGCAGAAGAUGAAUGGCCACCCUAUUGAGAUUUGUAAAUAUAAAGACUCGUUUGAAAGUAUUUUUAAAAUGACUGAAAGCGUUAUAAUGAGAAUGGUUUUAGAACCAAUCCUUAGUAAAAAUGCAAGUGAAUCUUAGAAGCACAUAACUAAUGCUGCUUGCAUGAAGCACUAAAGUGUUUUUGGAACUCAAAAACACUUCCACCAAAAGCAGUUUCAGCCAUUUUAAAAGCGCUUUCCAAACGAAUGCUAAAUGUCAUGCCAUACAUGUCUCAUGCAUGCAAAAUAAAUGAAAGGCAAAAGAAGAUUUUCAUAAAAGUACUUUAUUUGGUAAAUCAACAACACAGAUUAUCGUCAUAGCUCUUUUCUGCAGCAGGUAUUCGACAUCAUAGGUCACAUUUUUCGCUUUCUAAGAUCGAUACGGAGAGGGUUCAAGUCAACUAUUAGAUUCUGAUGGGUAAUACCACCACUACCUACACUGAGGCUGUAUGAUGCUGCUGUCGAUGUAUCACAUUUCCGACGAGCUGAUAUGCUUCAUGUUCAUCUUGGUUUCGGAAUCUGCUGUACCUAAACACUACAGGAUCACUAAGCUGCACAUGUUGUAAACCCCCUGGUAAAAUCUCCAAACUUCUUAUAAUCUAAGAGGUACGUUUUUGCCUCAUCCAUUUUGUAGCCGACCACUUUUCCCCGGAUAGUACCUCACAUCCUCCAUGUAUGCUCGUCGGAUCCUCUUUUCCUUCAAGAUUCUGAAAGAAGCAAGUAAAAUAAAAUUCACAUGGAUAGAGGUCAGACUCCGUUAGAAAACUAGAAACUUCGAAAUUGCAUUUCACAACUGUACUAAAGGCAAACUAUCAUUUCGUUUUCAGCAAUGCAAACAUAGAAUUUUACAUAUCUUAAAAAUGGUCAAGGGACCGAAGGCACACCCGGAAAAUAGUAUAAGAAAUUAAGGAACCUUACCAUGCUCCAAAAAAGUACUGCAUCCCCUUUAAUUGGCUUCACAGACAAACCUGUGGCAGCUCUUCCACCGCAGGUACAUUUACCUGAACUAGCCUGAAAUUCCACACAAGUUAACACAUAGAUUGGCAAUGCGAUAUUCUACAUACAUUACAUGCAAAACUGACGGUAGAAAGACUGACCACAAAAGAAAUAGAUCGAAAGACAACUAAUGAUUUGCAUAAUUAUAUAUUUAAAUCCCAUGUUUUUAAGUCCCUGAUGUAAUAUAUAAAAAAUAAAAAUAACAAUGUCAGGUACAGUAAACUUCUCUUUCCAAAAAGAUGCUUGAUAAAAUGCCUCAAAUAAGCGAUUCAGAAGCAAAGUGAACACCUUGGUGCACACCGUACCCUACCCCCUUCUCCCCUCCAAACCGUGUUCCACUACUCCCAAAUAAUUUUAGCACGUAUAUUUGCCUCUUUUAGCCUUCGUAAUUUUAGCAUCAAAAUCUAUACCUAUCGAAGAUAACAUCAAAAUAUAGCAUCAAAUCAAAAGACAGAUUACCGUAGGGAAGAUGGUUUCUCCGCCCUCAACAUUAUCACUCAAAUACAUCAGAAUUGUUGCUACUCGCUGACCACCACGUUUCAAGUUAAACUGUCAACAAAAAAUCAAGUAAUAUUUAGAUUCCUAAUGUUAUAACAUUAAAAAAUUGAAGGAUUGACUGCAAUUACGGGAUACUAAUUCUUACAAAUGCAGGGUAAAGAAACUUACAGUGUCAGAGAAGUAGUCAUGGUGAGGUCUGUAAUACUGAUCCUUUUCGUACCUGUGCUGCUCCAGAUGUUAGUCUUGAUACUAAAUAUAUUGCUCAACAUUUUCAUGAAACUCACCACAUCUUAUCUAAAUAAGACACCCACCUUAAAACUUGAAUGAGCUCCCCAUUUUCUAUUGGCACUUGAGAAAACACAGCAAUACGCUUUUCAAUUGCCUAAUGACGAAAUAGAAAAAGAGGACAGUUAGAGUUCUGCUUUCUGCUUUACCACAAAGAACAAUGGUAACCUAAAUGCUAAAAAGUGGACAUCACAGAUACUUCACAAACACACACACAUAUGCACACAAGGAAGCAAAUGGCUGACACAUAUGGAGGGUUUCCCAAGUAAUAUGCAUUGGCGGGCAGAGGCUGUGGAUGUUAUUCAUAUGAAUUGUUCAAGUUUUUGGCAGAUCAAUCUGCCAAAACAACAACUUCCAUAUCUUCAUCCCAAGAACUCACUGGUACUCCUCAAAGAAUGAGGCCCAGAUAUCAUAUAUACACAGAAACCUCCGGAUUUCUUGUCAAUUGCUCAUUGUUCUAUGGUCAUGUUAAAUAGUCCCCACUUUGGUACAAAAAGGGCUCUUGGAUACCAAGAGAAACCCUCCUGGAACAAGUUCUGGAAGGCCUUAUGCAUCCAUUUAGAAAUUAGAACCGACUAUCAAGAUUAAAAAAUUAAGAGUUCGUGAUAGCAUUCCUUUACAUUCAACAAGAUUUUUUUUAACUGCCUCCAUUUUGAACCAACACAAAAAUGACUAAAUUUAAUUUCCAUCUUAAUGCUUAAAUCUUCCUCGUCAUAACAUCAUUGUAUGUUCUACAUACAUCACAAAUGAAUAAGCGUGUAUGCUGUAGUCGGUGAAUUUGAAAAAGAUAAAAUGAACACACAAAAGAAGAUCUCAAAUUUGGAUGCCUUUCCAAUAAGAAAUGAGAUCUGUAUAUUAUUCACAGCAUGAUGGUAUGAAUUUAAGACUAGCCUACAGACCAACGAUGAUAAACAAAAUAUUCAAAUCAAAUAAUGAAUAAACACCCUGAACUUGGAACCUUUAAGAAAACAAAAAUAACAUUUAGUAUCUUCUGAAGUAUAAAAUUAUAAAUAUGAAUCUGAAUGCCAUAUGGAAGAGAGCUGAACUUAAAACAAAAAUUAACCUGUAUCAUCGGGUACUUUUUCUCUUCGGGACUCAAGAACAUACCAGAACUUGUGCGAACAUUACUCUUUAUUCCCUGAAAAAAUGGUACAUAAUACGAUCAAUUAUGCACUUAAAUGAACAGGAAGAAUAUCAAACAAUAAAUAUAAUAUAUAUAUAUAUAUAUAUGUCUGUGCAUUCGAUUAGAGUUUGAUAUACAAAAGAUUCAUUUAGAGAUCACUUUGCUAUCUUGUUGAUGAAAAGUAAGGACAUUUUCAUCAGGUUCUCUAUCCAAAUAACACAUUUUAUUAAAUAGAUAAACACAAAGAUAUCAUACAGAAGUCAAUUGUAAGUAACUAUAUCAAAGCAUUGUCCUUUUCUAUCCAAAAUAGUAAAGUUGUGGCUAUUCUAAUAAAGCAUGCAUAAAACUGGAAAAAAGACUAAUGAGUAAGCCUGUGAAAUUAAGUGAAGUCAUGCCCUAAGAUGGAGGGUUAUCUGAUACCGGGGUGUAUGAUAAUUCGUAGGGCAUCCUGCGUACCUUUCCUGUUCUUACGUCCACUACAGUGGAGACUUGAAGGCGAGGGGAGGCAAGAGUUCUAAGGUAGUCACAUUCCUGAAAUGGCCAUAAAAACUUUCACUUUCACUUAACUAUAUAAAGGAGCUUCUUAAAAAACCAAAGCUGCUCAAUAAUAAUGCAAGAACCUUCAAUAUUUCACCAGAAGUCAAAUUUAAUGUGCUACCAAACAACAUAGAUCAGCCAGCAAAUGACAGCUUAAGACUAAUAAGCAAUUGCAGAAAAUCUAUCAGAACUUGGGAAUUCCAACUUUGGUACUAAUACUUUUUGGGGCCAUUAAUCAUUACCCCCCUUUUCAUUACUUCAUUAUGUCUUUACCACCUGGUUCUGUUCUUUUUUUUUAUCUUCCCCCACCAACAAUUUGACGCGCACAGAAUCACGAGCCAACACAAUUACAUCCAAAUACGUUUCCUGCCAAGCUUCAAAGAAGCAUACUUUUUUGUUUUAAAUAAUAUUUUGAAAUCCAAUGUAGCCCAACUCCAAACUACAAUGAAAAUAAUUUUAAAUUCCUUUAUUAUUAUUUUUUUUUUGGUCCAAUUCACUUUAAGUUAUUGUUUUUUUAAAGGUUAGUAUAGAUCAUUUUAAGUUAGUAUAGUCCCUUCUUUCAAAAAUAAAAUACAGACUUAAACAAUUACACAAUUGCACGAUUACAAACUUGCACAAUUACAGACUUACACGAUCACCCUAUUAAACCAUUACUGUAAACAGUAACUGCAUAUUCUCACCAAACAAUUAUAGUUCGGUAACCCUGAAAACAAUUCCAGUUUUCACUAUAGACAAUUACAGUUAGUUACUCCUGCAAACAAUUACAGAAAAGCUACCCUUAAAAACAAUUACGGUAAUCACAUGUCCAACAAAAAAUUACAAAUAGUUAGAACUUAAAUGGUGGAGUGUUCUCUUUUACUGCAGAACGAAAGUGGAUAUGAGACCCUUAUGGUUGCUAACAACAAAGGUUUUAAUCAUUAUUUUAAUUUAAGUGAACUUCAUUGACUUGUGGGUCCAACUUAAUGCAUGUACUUGGGCAUGGUAGAAUAUUGUAAGAGUUAAGAAACAUCAUGCCACAUGAAUAGAGGCAAUUCUGUUAUAAGAUAUAAGCAUACCUCCAUGCUCAAGAACUUAUGAAGUACAAUUAUUCGAGGCUCCCAGCUGAUUACUUCAGGUUUGACCUACAUUGAGAGAAUAAGAAAAGAAGAAAUCAAAUUCUAUUUACUAGAAAUUAUAAUGAGGUAUAUUAGUCCGGCUUCAUGUUUGUAUGCACAGAGAGAGAGAGAGAGAUGCAUCUCAGAUGUGUUCUGCCUUUAUUUUUCUAGCGAUAGGAAACUGAAGAAAUACACAGAUGUGUUAUGCCUUUAUUUUUCUUGCGAUAAGAAACUGAAGACAUACACAGUAGGGAACUAACACAGGGAAAGUGGUUAACUACAACAUUCUAGGUACCGGAAAACAUGAUAGACCCAUCAACUGGUGUCAACACUAGUUUAAAAGCUACUAAUAUCAUUAACCUUACUAACCUACAAUUGUACAAGAUUUUUUGGACAAUCAUACAUUACUGCCUGCAAUCACAGAUAUACCUGUACUUGUAUCUAGAUUGUUUCAGAAACUUUGUCCAACACCCUGUCAUUGGAUUAAAUACCAAUACUCACUUCUACGUGCACAAAUCAUAAAGAUUUACAGCACGGUACAACUCCAGGUGGUAGACUAUGACUAGAAGGUUCAGACCUAAUAGACCUAAGCAACAACAAAUUAUUUUAAGACAUAGAUUGCAUAAGUGUGUCAUAUCACACAUACUGCCCCCAAUUAUGAAUUGAAGGUACUCAAAUGUCCAAUUUUAAUUGUCCUGUACAUCAAAUGAUGCAUGAUAUUUACUUUUAAUUUUCUUUUCCAGCAGGCAGGGAUUAUCUGAAGUACUUGAAUAAAAAAUUAAAGCUAAACUUGCAAACAUACAUAUCCCAGGCGUAAAAUUUCUGCUUCUUUAUCAUUGCUCCAAUAAGCACCUGAGAAUUCAAAACAGAGGAAAGCAAAUUAGAUUAAAAAAAAAUAUUUGUAACUUAAGCAACAAAUGUGGUCUAUCUACCAAACUAAACAUGAUAAGAACCAUACCAACCUCCGGGCAACUGACGAUAACCAUCACUUCCAAGCACUUUCUAGGAGAUGGAAACCCCGAGCCUAAUAAACACCAAAUUUUAAACAAAAAUCAUCACAUUAACGAUACAAUAAGCAUGAUAUCCACUUGCAAACAACCGUAAAAUAAAUAUGACAUCACUUACAAUAAAGCAAUACAAAGAAAUUGUUCUAGAUAAUAAUUUAAUCAACAAUAAACAGGCUUUAAAAAUACAAGAUUGCAAGAAUUAUGCAACUAAACAUAUCAGUUCCAUUGGUGUCCAAUAGACCAAAAAAGAGAAAAACCAUAAAACGUUUAAUCGAUGAAAUAAUUCCAAAGAUAUGUACAUCAACUGAAAGAUAUGUACCAAAAAAGGCAUAACAAAGUCACAACCAUGAAUUUAACAUGCAAGUAAGACAGGGAAUUAAAAGAAAAUAUAUUUGUAUAAGAAUAAAGAACUAAAAGAUACCGUAUGAGUCUUCUAAUCUUCGUAUAAAUGCCAAUUGAAACAAAGCACCUGUGAGUUAAACAAAAAAGGAAUUCAGUAGAUGCUUGUUUAUUGAAAACCGAGUAGCACAAUCAAUUGAUCUUCAAAUGUUUAGCUUAUAGAAAACUAAACUUAGCAUAUUAUACAAUACAAUACAAUACAAUACAACGCAGAGCAAAUAGAAGGUAGAGGUUCUCAAAAGACACAAUGAAGAUAGUUGGUAAUAAAAAGGCCGGAAAAUUCCCCAGACGGCAGUCCAGCACCUCCACCUUCUCUGUGUUCUGCAUAAUUCGUAGUACUAGGAUAUGGUGUGGUGCCACUGGCCCACGUGUCUCCCUGCUAUUGCAAAUUCCUGUUUAGAAGGAGGAUAUCAAAUCUUUCUUUGUGUAAAUUCUUUCAUUUCUUUCAUACUUCUAAACCCUCUAUCUCCGAAACGGGAGUUUCUCUUAGCAAAACUAUGAACACCAACAUAUUGGAAACGCAUACCUCUACAAUUAAUGCAGCACAUCCCAACCAACUCCAGAGCUAGGGUAAUCCGAUAAAUCUCGACCAAAUAUAUUAGCAUUUUUCACUCAAAAAUAUUACAUCAAAUACUAUGCUCUUAUUGACUACAACAACAACUAACCAAGCCCUAUCCCUCUAAGCGGGGUCAGCUGUUUGAAUCCUAGAACGCCAUUUAGCUCGGUUUACGCUAGCAUUGACUAUAAUUUGAAAACCAUUUUUAGCCAGGAGCCAUAACGAUUUGCCCUAAGAAUCCAAGUCAAAGGAAGCUUCUGACGGAGCUGGUAAAAUUAUGAAUCUGAAGACUUGUUUGAUUACAAACCUUAAAGUAUCCAAUACCCAGAUCAAACCCAGACAGGAGCUUUCGUUUGGUUCCCGAAAAACACGGGAAAAUCGAAAGUACUAACAUAGGACCAAACUCCAACCGUUUUCUGGGUAAUCGCAGAAUCCAAAUAUGCACAAAUCAAUCAAAUGUAUAUGCAUGUAUGUAAUCAAGACGAGAAAUUGCUUCGAUGGUUUGAUUUUACCUAUGAUCAUUCCGACAGUGACAAAGGUUAGCAGCCCGAAUACAAUCUUCAUCGGAGCAGCCAUGGUUUCCGGUGAGAGAAAGAUAGAGAGAUUGCAAUCAGGAAAAUCAAAAUGCUAAGAAAGAAGAAUUCUGCAGUCUUAAACAGUUGCCAGCACCAGAACCGGGCACUUGUUGAAAAGUCAUGUCCCGGCGUUAGUCAAUUACUUUCUCUGUUUUUCCUUUGUUUUUUUUUUUUUUUUAGCCGUUUUCAGUCUUAUUUUCUGACAUGAUUUUUUUGGUCAAUUUUCCUAACCAACGACCAACGAACAGGGAUAAAUUUCUUUCGUCAACUGCGGCUUGGAGCGCUCCGCACGGUACGAAUGUCUGUUCCCACUGUUCGGGAUUGGGAUGCAUCUUAUAUGAUUUUUAAGUUAAAUUAGUUCGAAUUGUCAUGGCAGUAAUUGAUGGGGAAUUCUUAUGAGAAAUAGAUGUACCGAUGCCAAUAAUUUAGAUAAAUAUUAUGUUUUUUUUUUCUUUUCUGAACAAAUGAUAUUACCUACACUAAGGAGAGGGGUGGAGCUUAGCAUUACAAUAGAUUAGCAAUAAUGUGGUUCAAGUUCGUUUUGGCGAGAAUCAAACUUAAGACAUCUUACUUACAAGUGAAGAGAAAAAUCAAUAAUAUGGUUCAAGUUCGUCUUUGACGAAAAUCAAACUUAAGACAUCUCACUUAGAAGUGAAAAGAAAAAUCACUAAACUAUAGUACUAAGUGACAAAUACUAUGUCUCUUUUAUUCUUGUGAAAGUAGAUAAAUACUAAAUUGGACUGGGGGUUUUACACUGGACUAGCUAGGACUAAUAACCCAUGUUUGGUAUAGCAAGAGACUAAGUUAAAUGGGAUUAGCUCAGACUCGUGUGGACUCCGAACCUCACUAAGUCGCCUAAAUUAGUCCCACACGAAAGCAAGGUAUUGCUAAGAACCUCACUACGCUGCCUUCUCUCACUACGCCUCCUUCGCGUGAACUGGUGAGAGCCAAGUAUUGUUCUUCGUCAAAGCCAUCGAUCAUUGAGUGAGCUUCAUCCAGAACAAGUAUCCUCUCUCUCUCUCUCUCUCUCUCUCUCUCUCUCUCUCUCUCUAUUGGAUUGAUAUGAGAAUUGGGUGCUUCGAAGAGAAUGCUAGAAGAAGAGGAAACAUAUUUGCAAAUCACGGUUGCUAAAUCGUGGUUGGAGGAGGAGGGUGGGUGUCGUGGCUUGCUUCGAAUUUGCAGAUCGGUAGGAGAAAACAGGUAUACAACUAUUUGUUUUCAUAAUUGGGAUGAUGAUGGGAUUAGCAAGGCCAUGGCAAAUGAAGAGAGAUGGAGAGGUGUGAAGAAGUGAAAUUGAUGAACUUAAUUAUUAUUAUUUUUUUGUAAUAUAUUAGAAUUACCAUGAUUAUCUUGAAGUUCAUCAAUUUAAAAAGUAAAAGAAAAAAAAAUGGAGGAGAUCUAAAUUUAAUUAUUUAGAUUAGAAUGUGAAAUUUAGUUUUUUAUAAUUAAAUUUAAAAAAUUAAAAUUUAGUCUUAAUCUGACACUACACAAAACGCUUCACAACUUUAAUACUGCUUAGUCCAAGCUAAGACAAUCUAGUUUAGUCCAUGAAACUAGUCCAAUUUGAACUAAUCUAGUGCAACAAAUGCACCAAUCUCCUGGGAGAUAGUGAACUAAAUCUCAUUCCCUAAAACUCCUCUAGCAUGCCACUUAGUACUAUGAUCUAGUAGUAUUCUUUUUUACUUGUAAGUGAGAGGUCUUAGGUUCGAUUCUCGUCAAAGGCAUUUUAAACACAUUAUUAUGGCAAGCUCAUCGGAAAGCUUAACCCACUUCCCACUCCCUUAAUGUAGAUAACUAUCGAUUGUUCAGAAAAAAACUCCUCUAACUGUUUCCAAUUCACUUGCCCUUGGAGCAGUGGCGAAGCCACGUGAGGGCGAGGAGUGGCGGCCGCCACUCCCCUCGCCGGAAAACAGGACUGAAACUCUGGGUCAGUCCUUCCCCUCGCUGGAAAACCCACUGGUUCAGUAGUUCAGUUCAACCCUCAUUGUCUGUCUCGGUGGUGAUGGUGAUAUGCAGACUGCCCUUUUUUUAAAACACCCAGGCCAAAACAACGUCGUUUUGGUCCUGGUAAAAAAUAAAAUAAAAAAUAAGUGAAACGGCACCGUUUCGUAUGUUUGGAAUCAGAGUCUCAGUGUCGUGUUCCAUCCCCUUUUCUUUUUCAAUCUUUCUGCCAAUCAUAGACAAUAGCAGAGCAAAGUUGCCCCCUCAAACCCCAGCAGUAACAGAAGAAUUUUUUUUUUUUUAAAUUCCCAUUGGCAUUUUUCCUUGCCGCACCAGCCACUCUCCAUUUCUUCAACCGCUAAGCCGUCGGCUUCCAACCUUCAAAGGUUAAAUUUUUAAUUUUUAAAUUUAUAAUCCAUAAUCUUAAUUAAUUAUUUAAUAUGAAUUUUGUUUAAUUGGUAUAUAAUCUUUUGGUAAUGCAAUAAUAUGGUUGUUGAUUAUUGAUAUGAUUCUAUGAUUAUUGAUAUAAAAUUAUGAAAUUAUUUUUUAGGGUGAAAAUUAAAAUUUGAAUUCUUGAUUAUUGAUUAAUUAGUUGAUUAUACAAUUAUUCAUAUGAUUAGUUGAAUUGAAUAUUUAUUUAUUGAAUAAUUUGUAUGCUCAUUGGUAUUGAUUAAGUUGGAUUAAUAAUUAUGCAUAUUAGUAUAGUCUACUAUAGGAUUAAGAAUCUAAAUUUUUUUUUUCCUCUCCAUUUUACAGUAAUGUAAUUGAACGAUACUAUAAGAAACAAUGCUUAAAUCCUCCUUCAAACAUUUCGGGUCCUCCUCCUCCUUCAAAUAUUCCAAGUGGUCCUCCUCCUCCUUCAAACAUUUCGGGUAGUCCUACUCUAGGAUUAAGUGAUAGCAUGUUUAUUUAUAUUGAAAGAGAUGUAUUUGCUUUUAUUGAUAAUGAGCCUAUUAUGCGACGUUUUUAUGAUAUGAAACCUCGCAAGCAACAAUUUUAAUUUGUUUUUAUUGAUAAAUUAUGGAAGACAUACUAUAUAAAAGAAUUUGAUUGUUGCUAUUUUUUUGAACCUUGCAAUCUUUUAACUUCGCCCCUCCCUCCGUGAAUUCCUGGCUUCGCCGCUGCCUUGGAGUAGCUCAGUUGCUCGCCUAGGCAAAAAUGAACUACCCCAGGCCCUAGACCAUGUGGAACAAGGUUGACACUGAUGGGAGCACAAUUAAAAGUUAUAAAUAAUUAAUUACAAAUACAAAAAAAUGAAUAAUUUAUAUUUUAUAAAAAGAAUUCAUAUAAAUACUUAACUAUGUUGUACAUCACAUUUCAAUAUUUUCAAAUAAUUUGAAUCAAUUUUUUGUUAUUAUCCAAAAUUAAAAAUAUUUUAUUUAUAGUUUUAUAAAUAGAUAAAAAAUAUUUUAAUACCAAUAGCCUAGGUUAUUCAGUUUAAAAGUGGAGAUAUACUUGAGCAAUUACUAUUCACUUGCGAGGAUUGAAUUGGCUAUUGCCCAUGUGAUUUUUUAAGGGUGCAAGUGCUAUAUGAACUUUGGCCCAAUUGGCAGGGUCGAUCUUGAGAUUUUUUAAGCCUAGGGCAACACAAAAAAUGUGCCCUUUAAAUUAUUUUCAUUAAAAAAUAAAAAACGAAAAGCAGUCACUUAGUACUACGGUCUAGUGAUAGUUUUUUUCACUUGUAAGUAAGAAGUUUGAGGUUCAAUUCUCGUCAAAGACAAAUAUAACCGCAUUAUUGUUAGCCUAUUGUGAGACUUAGCCCACCCCCCACCCCAUGUAGAUAAUAUUGUUUGUUUUCUGUCACCCUUGUCCUUUUGCCAUUUAGUACUACAAUUUAGUGAUAUUCAUUUUCACUUGUAAGUGAGAGGUCUUAGGUUCGAUUAUUGCCAAUGGUGAAUUUGAAUCACAUUUUUGUUAGCCCAUUGUGAGGCUAAGCCUAUCCACUUACCUUUAAUGUAGAUAAUAUCGUUUGUUAAAAAAAAAGAUCAGUGAUGCUCUUGUGCCAAUAGAAUUAAUUACUUUUAUACCAAAUUUACCAUAGCAAUCAGCCCCAUUAUUUUUUAGGGAACUUUAACGAAAAGCACCCGGUACUGUUUACUUUAACGAAAAACCACAUUUUUACACUAAAAAGUCAAUUCUGGUACUAUUCACUUUACCUUUUAUUUUGUCCGUAUUAUUAAAACCCUUUUCAUUAGUUUUCUUAUUUUUUACUGCGUUCCUAUUUUUUUUACCCAAAAACGCGGCCACCAACGGCCCAUUUGGUUCCUCAACCCAAAACACCCGCUUCUCUCUCCCACUAGGGUUUUAGACUUUUUUGGAGGUUUUGCCACUAGAAACCCUCCAGUUGCAGGCUCUUCGUUCUGAUUUGAUCGGAAUCCUCGAUAGCCAUUCUUCUUCUCUCCGAGUAUUGUUGCCGACGAAAGGCAGAGCACAAGCAAUGGCGGGCCUCGUUCCUCCUCCUCCUCCAACCGCCGCGGCUGAUACGAUUCCGAAGCCGAAAGAGGAUGAGAAAGUGGAUUACUUGAAUCUUCCUUGCCCUAUUCCCUACGAGGAGAUCCACCGUGAAGCUCUCAGUCAGUCUCUCUCUCUCUCGCUCUCGCUCUUUCCUCCAUUAUUUUCAUAUUUCAUUAUCUUUCUAGUUUAUCUUGCAUUGUUUUUUGAUGUGCAAAUUAUGGAGAUUUGUGUUUAUUCUUGUUAAUAUUUAAAGUUUAAACAUUUGCUCUUCUGGGUUUUUCUUUUACAUGUAAUUCAUGAAAGUUUUAUUGUGAAUUAAUCUGUUAUAUAUCUUAUAUUUGAAUUAUGAAUUCUCGGAGAAAUACAAUUGUAUUAGGUCUUUUAGCUAUCGUUUUGGUGGCUCAUGUUACGUCACCCGAUUUUAGAAACCAAAGGGAAUGACUUUUUAUUUUUGGGUUUACUUGGAAAGGAAAGAAGUGCUCUUUGAGUGUUGAGUCUAAGACGGGAUUAUUUUGUACGUGUAUGCAGUGUCUUUAAAGCCGGAACUGUUUGAGGGGAUGCGCUUUGAUUUCACUAAAGGACUCAAUCAGAGGUUCUCACUCAGUCACAGGUCUGAUCAGACUUCCAAUUCAUUCCCAUCAUCAUUACGUUUAAUUCUUAUUAUUUAGAUACUGAUCUGAAUCGUAACGCUCCUUUGACAACCAACAAUCAGCGUGUUCAUGGGACCUACCGAGGUUCCUUCACAAUCUCCCGAAACUAUUAAAAUUCCCACUGCUCACUAUGAGUUUGGUGCCAACUUUAUAGAUCCAAAGGUAACUAACUGUCUUAUGAAAUUGAUCUUUUCGGAUACUUUUCUAUGGCAAUAUGAAUUUAAACUCUCAUUUAAACAUAUGCUAACAUGCAGUUGAUGCUUUUUGGGAGAAUCAUGACUGAUGGGAGGCUUAAUGCAAGAGUAAAGUGCGAUUUAUCUGAGAAUCUUACUUUGAAGGCCAAUUCUCAGGUGAUUUGGAAGACUGUUGAAGCGCUUUAUCCCCUUUUUUAUUUGCAAAGUUUGUGCCGACAAUCUGUAAUGUCUAAGUUAGUUAGUUAACUUUUCUGUGCUUCUUUCCAGCUUACCAACGAGCCUCACAUGUCACAUGGCAUGGUCAAUUUUGAUUACAAGGUAUGUUGCUGACUUUGUAAUAUCUUUCAGUUAAUUUUCUUUUAUAUAAUGGUGUUGCUACCAAGACGAGGUUAAACUUCUCUCAUGGCAGUGAUUAUGAAAGAACUUUCAUAUAGCUAUUUUAAUUCUAAGUACCUGUUUGGCACAACCUUUUCAGCAAUGUAAGAGUUUUGCUGUAAUAAAGGCACUUUUCUUUGUUUACUAUGUCGCUUCACAGCACUUGAAAUGAAACUUCAUGUUAGGUUCAUGCAAAAGCUAAAAAUGCUUUAUGUGUUAUAGAAAUGAGACAAUUGUAUCAAAUCAAGCUAAGAACUGUUUGUGGAGAAGCUCUAAGUUGUAGCUUUUCCAAUAGCUAAGAAACAUCUUAUGCUGGAAGCAGUUGCCCUCUUUAAUUAUUUCUUCUGUGAUUGACAAAGUUAACCUUUUAACUUUCAUCAAUGCCCUUUUCACUCUUGAAAAUUAAUCAGUAAUACGGAUUGCUAGUUGGUUGGUUCAAAAAUUGUUUCAUGGUUGCUUAUUGGGUCGAAUAAGUUUUUAUAUUGUUGUUGUCUGGUAAUUUGUAGAGUGGAUAGAAUGAGAGUUUGGGUGGGAGAUCUUUUUUCGAAGCUUGCCUUCUUGGUUGUUUAAUGUUAUUGAUGUCCAGGUACCAUAAUGGAACCAUUUACUGGCUUCAUUUGAUACGGGUGAAUUGGGAUUUUGGUUGUAGACAUUUAGGAGGUGCUUAAAUGAGGUAGUACUGAAAUGAGCAGAUUUCAAGAAGUUUGAAGCUAGAGUCUUCAGCAUCCUACUUGUAUGUCUUAUUUGAAACUUAUGUCUCACUUUGACACAGUUCUAGAAUUUCUACCACCGUGAAGGGGAAGCUUCUUGCAUGGAUUUUGCUCAUGGUAGGGCUAACAUGUGCAGUUUGAUACAAAGACAAGCAAAUUGGUGUAUUUCAAUUUUCACCUCAUUGGUGCAUUUUGUAUAAGCAGGGGGAGGUGUUUGGAUUAUAUAUCUGUGCGCUUUCCAAUAUCUCUACAUUAUGGUAGAAUUUAUGCAUGGAGGUCAGUGAGUUGGGUGGUUACGGCAUCCACUGGUAAGUGAUAAGCCUUUUGGUGAUGGGAACAAGGCUAAAGCCCUUUUGAGAAUUUACCUUUUGGUGAUGGGAAUAAGGCUAAAGCCCCUUGAGAAUUUAUUGUGCUGGUAAAUCGAGGAGUAUGUAGGGGUUUGGGAAUGACCGCUAGUCUAGAGUUAGGUUUUGGGAUUUGAUUUGGUCAUCUGUUUCUAUGGAAUUUAGGGGGUGUUCUGUUUCUACUGUUCUAGAUUGUAAGGCAUUUGUGUCUUAAUUGUUUCUUAAUGAAGUUUUAUGGUAAAGUAGGUCUGUGGUGUUUUGGCUUCAAUUUGGACUCCUUGUCCACUGUAUUGAAAAAAAAAACCACGAUAUUAAGUACAGGCUAUUAGGAUCGAUUGGAUUGAUCUUUGAUCUGCUUUAGAGAUUAAGAACAAGAGCUUUGAGAAGAAGAGAUUUAGACUCCCCUCCUCCCAUCUAUAUUUUUUCCCUAAUUUUUUCAACAACUGGAACCCAAAAGGAUAACACAGUUAUUGAUUUUUGUCAUGUAUUUUGAGCUAACCACUUUGUAAUUAAUUUUCUAAUCAUUUUUUAUUUAUUUAUGCCCAACAUUGACUUCCUCUGCACAGGGAAAAGAUUACAGGUCACAGUUUCAACUAGGAAAUGGUGCACUGUUUGGAGCAAACUACAUUCAGGUAAAAUAUUGGACAACAUAUUCUGUGUUUAACCUUUUCAUUAGCUUAUGACAAAAACAAAAUUUCAUAUCAUGAUAAGUUACUUAUUGUUGGCUAAUCUACAUAUAUUAAUUAUUGCCAAAUGGAUUCUACAAGGUUUCCUUAAUGUAAGAGGGUCCAUUUUUUGUUCUCCUUCUGGGCUUCUGUAUCUUUGGAGUUCUGAAGAGUAUUUUUUUCUUGUAAAUCUGUGUUAAUUGGCAAAGCUUCUGUAAUUUUGCUAUUUGAUAGAUUUGUUUGUUUGUUUUGUUUUGUGUAAUUUUGCUAUUUGAUAGGUUUGUUUGUUUUGUUUUGUUUUAUGUAAUCGCUAUUUGAUAGGUUUUUUUCUUGUCACCUCUCAAGGAAGAAAAAAGUUGUUCUUAUAUUUAUUUUAUAUGGAUUGUGUAUUUCACAACGUUUUGGGAAAGCACUUAAUACAAAAAGGCAGAAAUGUAAAAAUCUGUAUUAAUUAUACUAAUGUAUUAAUGUAAUCAUGUUGGAGAUCAACCCUGGUAUUUGAUUACCAUAUUUAACCGAGUAAGAUUUUCUUGUUCCUCCCCUGACCAUAUUUAACUAUGUGAUGACCAUGUUUUUUUGCCAAUUAUUAAUAACUGCUUGUUUACUUGCUUUUAUUUAUCAUUUUCUUCGUUUUCCCAGCUUUUAUCAUUUCUAUAAAUCUAUUAAGAUGUGGAAGCUGUUAUUGGCACUCCAAAAAGGUCAUCUUGCAAUCCAAGGGAGAAAUUGCACUUCAAGUGCAGGAUGACUUUUUAGUGUGCUAAUAACAGUUCCUAAGAUUUUGCCAAAACCGUUUUAGCCAUUAAAGCCCUUUGAUUUUAAUUUGAGCAUGAACCAAAGGUAAAUGGAGCAAUAAAUGUAAGUAUAUAAGAUAAUUACAGUAUUGACUCAAAAUUUGUCAUCUUCCAAUUGGUAGUGGCACGUAUUAUGAUUUAUAGUGGCAUUUAUUAUGUAUUCUGGAUUGUUUUUCUCUGUAAUUGAUUGUUCCAUUUAAAUUCUUAGUGAUAAGCAUAUUUUGUUGCCUUCAUGCCAAUGACACAUCUUCUUCUCUCUGUGAAAGUUUGAAAGUGGGAUUUUUUAUUGAUUUACCUAGUGCAUUUCACCAAUCUUUUGAGUGCUUAUUAAUUUUCAGAGUGUGACCCCCCAUCUCGCUUUGGGCGGUGAAGUGUUCUGGGCUGGUCAGCAUCGGAAGUCUGGUAUUGGCUAUGCUGCUCGGUAUAACACAGAAAAGAUGGUAUACUUCUUGAACCCUUAAAUUAUAACUUCCUGAAUAUGCGACAUAAUGUUUUAAUUGAUUCCCACUGUUGUUUACUCAUUAAUUCUUGCAAAUAAGAUAUUAAUUUGUUACAUUCUGGCACCAGAAAGGGCAUGCAUCAAGAUUCAUGUAUCUAGAAUGUAUAUCAGUAGUUAACUGCAUGCUUUCUCACUAUUGUUUCUUUUUCCAAGUACCUUCUUUGUUUUAGAUGAAUGCCACAAUUGUUUAGGUAAAGCUAAAACAUCAUGAAAUUUUUUUCAUUUUUCAGAUUUAAAGUUGAUUUUGUUAAGUUCAAUGUAUGCAGUUAACUAAAGGGAAUAAAGAGGGAAAAGUAUUGCUUGAAGUGAAAUUUAUAUUUGUAGCUCAUUUUGAUUGCAAUGUUAGUUUUCAAAAUUAAUCUUAUGAAACUCUUAAGGUUGUAAGAGUUGGUUAAAACAAUGAUUUGAUGAAAUAAUUGGAAAUAAGGGAAACUAACUAGUUGUCAAGUAAUAGUAGGAUUGUCCAUGUUGCAGCCUCAUGGUCUCUAUUCUAGAGGAAAAGCGGCAAAUAUCCCGCACAUUAAAACUAAUGCUAAUAUUUUCAUGAAGUUCAAGUCAGCAUUACACUUUAGUUCAAACUUUUGAGAACCACAGGGUCUGGCUGUCCAUAUGGGAAGGCAUUGAGGUUGAAGUAGAAUAGAAUAAAAAGUUAUAUGUAUAUAUGUAUGUAUUGCUUACCUCAUAUUCCACACAUUUUCGAUUUGCAUUUGCGUGAGACCUUAAUAAUUUUAUUUUUGAUUUUGGGUAAAUCACAUUUUCCCCCCUCAACUUUUCGUCCAAUUUCAAUUUCAAUUUCAUACGUCUUCCAAUUUUUUUUUUUAAUUUCAUACCAAUGUCUCACAUACCAAUUUCAUACAUCCGUCUCAAUUUCUGUUAGUUUCACUGUUUUCUCCUCAUGUGGACCUUGCAGGCCCCACAAAAUUUGUGCCACAUUGAUAAAAAACAAGUAGUCCACUCCCGAAAGAAAAAAAAACUCAAAAUUGCAGCACACCCUAAUUCUUGGAGGAAAUUUCAAAACAAAACAGAAAGCAAAGAAUUACAAAACAACUUGAGACCUAAUAUUGCUAAUUGGUCUUCAUAAUCAUCUUUGGUACUUCAUGAAUGUUAUAAAUGGAUUUCAGCUUCUUAGCUGCUUUAUUAGUUGUUAAGGGCACAUGGCCAACAUUUUUCCAUGGCAGUAACCAAUAACCAUCUCCGGUGAGGCCUGUUCUAUUAACAAAGGUGAUAUAGGGUCAUAAGAUUUUAAAGCCCAAGAUGUUGAACCUUGGAAGGUGAACCUCGGCUUGUAUACUGAAUGAACCUAAGUAGGGAGUAUUCCAACUGUUGUAUGACUGGGCAGCUCCAGAACAUAUUCCACGGGAUUUUGUUAUAUAUUUCCUGGCUGAUUGUUUUAAUAGGAGAUUUUGACUCGAGUAACUGUUGUGUGAUCCAUACCUUAAUCCAACUCGUCUUUGCGCCCCCAGGUUGCCACAGGGCAAGUCGCUAGCACUGGAAUGGUUGCUCUUAGCUAUGUACAAAAGGUUUCUGAUAAGGUGAGCAAAGUUGAUCUAUGGUUGAACAUAUUUUACUUUUUAUGUUGUUGGAGUAUCUUUCUGCAGUUUUAUUUUUCAUGAUUUAUCCAAGCUCUUUCUUAUAGUGUUUCUUCCUUGAAGGUUUCUCUUGCAUCAGAUUUCAUGUACAACUACAUGUCAAGAGAUGUCACAGCUAGUUUUGGUUAUGAUUACAUUCUUCGACAGGUAGCUUUCGAAUUGUUAAUGUUCAAAUAUUUCAUUGAAAUAAAUAGACAUUCUCUUUUUCUUCUUCUUAGUUCUUAUGCUGUGGUCACUAUAUGCAUAGUAUGGUACGGUUACACAACCAGUGGUAUCUGAUUGCUGUUGGAGGAUGUGACCACCUAUUCGGUAAACAAUUUCAUGAAGCAUGAUUUCUCGGACAUUAUGGCCUGUUGAUUCUAUGCAGACCUUGAUCCCGACUCAGAUUCUGUCUGGCUACAUAAUUUUUUUUAUGUACAUAUGCAGUCCAUGCAUGUAAAACUCACCAUACACUGCCUUGUCAACCGUAAACCAUAAUCAAUUCCUAUUCAUCUAGAACCUGGAAGCCUUAACAGAUUGGGUUAUUUCUCUUUUUCUUUCGAAUAGUGGUUUCUUAGAUAUGAAUUUGUAAGUAUUGACACUCUUCUUGACUAAUUAUUAUUAUUUUUAAUUGUUGCAGUGCCGUCUUAGAGGAAAGAUUGAUUCCAAUGGCACCGUAGCUGCAUUUUUGGAAGAGCGACUAAAUAUGGGUCUUAAUUUUGUUCUUUCUGCAGAGGUGAGGAUUUAGCAACGUUUUCUUUUUUCUUCUCAGUUAACGAAACCCUGCUUUGCCAGUUCUCUCUUGACAAGUGCGAAAAUAUAUGCCUCGCAGAUUGAUCACAGAAAGAAAGACUACAAAUUCGGGUUUGGGUUGACUGUCGGGGAGUAGAGUGCAGGACCAAUGCUGUUGCAUCAUUCUUGCCGGCAAGAUACUCUCUCUUUAUUUUUCCUUUCGAGUCGAACAAGAGAUCCCUGUAUACUUAAUCUCGGGUAACAUUAUCGCAGGGCGGCAUCAGUUUAGCCAGUUUUAGUAGCCGGUUUCCGUUUGGAGUUCCCUUUUUUCAGUUAGGAGAUGUAGAAUAAGAUUUCGAAAUAAUUCAAAUUGAAUUUCUAGUCACAACUUGAACCUUUGCCCGAAAAACAAAACUCGAUUUCUUGUUGGUUAUUUGGUCUUUCUUGGUCGUACAUCAAAGUAUUUGGAACCUAAAACUUCCCCGGUUCCCUUGAUUUUCCGGUCGACCUCUCCUCUCCUCGUUCUUGUGAUCUUGUGGUGGCAACCGGAAUUCCUCCUUAUUUGCCGAGGAAAAUAAAAACCGACGCGUACGGCGGCGAACCCUAAAAUAACAGUUGCUUGACGAGGAUAAGGAGAGCCUGUGAAGAGGUUGAUGGAGAAGAGAACUUGAAGAUGCAUGUUUCCGGAAAUUGGUCACUGGGUUUUGAAGAACUGGUGGAUUCCUCCCCUUUUUCUGGGUUUUCAACUCGCCCGAAAUAAGCAAAUUUCAAGGAUCAUUUGAAGAUAAAAACUUUUAAUAUCACCAAUUAUUCGAUCAACAUUCAACCACUGCAACUUCAAAAUCAUAAAUUUUCAUCAACUAACAAUAACAUCACUAAAAGUUUAAUUGACAUUCUAUCAUGUUGACAAAAUAUUACGUACCAGCAAAUUGAAAGACGUGACAUCAACUCUAAAAACUAAAGCAUUGUUCCAAACAACCUUAGAGAAAUAUUUUAGUUCAUCUUAAAAUUUUAUUUGUGAUAUUACAUAUUUUUGUACUUAUUAACAAUUAUACUGUGUAAACACAUCAAGUGGUCCAGUUGUAAGGGCGCAGACUGCGAUUCCCCAAUAAACAAAAUAAUGUGGAAGGUCUCAGGUUCGAUGCUCCAAGCUGAUGGGUCUACUUGACUGUGGCCACGGACAUGAUGAAAUUUCCCAUAGCCUCUCUGGGCCUUGGAAAUGAUGGAUAACCGUGGCUUGCCACAAGUUGUCUCCAUUUUAAAGGGAAAAAAUCAAUGAUUACUGUGUGGAGCUAUAUUUUCUCAAAAUGGGACCAAGAAAAAUUAUAACUUAUUAUAAUGUGAAGUUUAUUCAUACACAUAACUGGUUCUAAGUUGGGACCAAAACUUCUUAUGACGAGAUUAUUCCUUAUAGAAUAUACUGAGAGAGGUUUUGCUCUACUUCCUUCUUGCUAAAAUGUGACGUGGACAUUGCCACCACGUAUACAUGGAUUAGUAUGACACGAGUAUACUCUCACGGUGAUAUUUGAUAUUUGUAAUAUAAGAAUAUGUGUUAGUUUAUCUCCAUGCGCUCUUCUAUCAUUGAUAAUAGGACGCUACCUUAAUACAAGAAUUAGUAUGAUCCGAGUAUAUUUUCACGAUGAAAUUUCAUGUCACUAAUGCAAAAAUACAUGUUAGUUUAUCUCUCCGUAUUCUUCAGUCGUUGAUAAUCAGUUGCUACCGUAAUAACGUCUCCCGUAUCAUACAAGUUGCUCCAGAGAAGACAAGAUGAGACAUAACUGGAGCAAGAAAGUGAACAGAAACCCCCUCAGUGUGUGUUGUCAUAAGUUAUAACGCCUUUGAUAACUUUGAACACACACAGAGACACAGCAACAAGCCAUUGAAAUGAAUCCACAGCAUCAGGUGUUGCUUAGCAGAAACUGCAGCAGCACUGUCUCUCUUCUCCCCCACAACUCCUCCGCCUCUAUCAAUCCCACCACCGCAUCUUCAAAUCUCCCAUUUGGGUCAUCGUCAGCCCUCCAUUUCAAUCAACAGCGACCACUUUCACUGCCCCACAAGUUCAAACACACCACUUUCACUGCCAAAAGGGCGGCCCUCCAAACCACCGCAGCUUACUCCGGAGGAGACAGAGAAUUGGCCCCCGAGUCUCCGGCCAAAGAGCUCCGUCGGAUUCUGGAGUUGCCAGGGGUUGUCCAGGCCCCUGCUUGUUUUGAUGCUCUGAGUGCCAAGCUUGUGGAAAGAGCUGGCUUUCAGUGCUGCUUCACUAGCGGUAUAUGAUGUUUUAUUUAUUUAUUCAAUUUGUUGAUGUGGGUUUUCUUCCUUGCUUGUAGAUGUUGACAUAAUUACAUCGUUUGAUUGUAGUGACUUUAGUUUGAAGCAAUUUUUGAUGUGGGUUUGAUUGGGUUUGGCUUGACAUGUUUCUUGUGAGACUCUGGGAGUUGUCUUGAUUGUAUAUACUCGUUGUUAUUGAUACCAUUACUUGUAAAAGGUUUGGGAGGGUGCAGUUGCAAGGUAUAUUGAAAUGAAAAUUUUUCAGCAUUGGUGCACCGAGUAGUAUUACAACAAUAAAGCUAACAUGAAGAAAUUGAAAUGAAAGUUGUUUAAUCAAAGAAGAAAAAUGGUAAGAUUCUAAAGUAUUUCAAACAUAAAAAUCAUACGUCAUCUUUUGUUAUUUGUGUGAAUUUACAGACUGUUGUUUCUUAAGAUCUUAUCUAUUCUAGAUAUUUGGUAAUUAACUGUUGUGCAAUACGUGGAUGGCAAUUUGUUCCCUUUGUAUGUUCUUGUAUCUAUGUUUGUAUGCUCUUUAUAAAAAAAUAUAGUUCAUGCAACUGCAGUUGUGUUAUUGCAUCCUUGGUCCAUUUUUCUGAUGUAUCUUCAUGUUUAAGUGCCUCAAACUCUAAAACAAGCUUAUUACUGCCCCUUUUAUUCUUCCAUUAGGAUUUUCAAUAUCGGCUGCUAGAUUAGCGUUGCCAGAUACAGGUUUUAUAUCCUAUGGAGAAAUGGUGGAUCAGGGGCAACAAAUUACCCAAGCUGUGUCAAUUCCUGUUAUCGGUGAUGGUGAUAAUGGAUAUGGGAAUGCAAUGAAUGUGAAGAGAACUGUCAAGGGAUACAUUAAAGCUGGUUUUGCUGGGAUUUUGCUUGAAGAUCAGGUUAUAGUUAUACUAUUGAAUUGAACUUUUGCAUCCAUGAAUAUUUCCUGUUUUCUUCAUCUUCUCUCUCUCUCUCUCUCUCUCUCUCUCUCACACACACACACACACACUCUCACUCUCAAUAACUGUUGCUGUUACUUUUUUAAAUUAACCAAUGGUGGAACUGGCAAGGAACUUUGGGAUAGGGAGGAGGUGGGAGUAGAUUGGAGAGUAAUUAAGGUUUAAAUUGGGUUUGCUUCUUUUUAUGGAAAUUUCUUCAUGUUUCCCAAUCCUACGUUUAUAGUC